RNAcentral lists this long non-coding RNA (65590 nucleotides) under Populus tremula. RNAcentral describes it as "long non-coding RNA (PTRE_LNC000087)". The stretch from base 40776 to 40933 matches the Rfam family "MIR2912 microRNA precursor family". Lineage: Eukaryota; Viridiplantae; Streptophyta; Magnoliopsida; Malpighiales; Salicaceae. The record is from RNAcentral.
UUCUCCCACCAAUAAUAUAUUCAAAUAAACAGUUUGAUAUUGAAGAAGUUAUGUACAGACCAGAGACUGUGUAUCAGCGUCUUCCUUUUAUGAAUAUUUCAAAGGCACAGGCUUUUUAAUAACACCCUGCCCAAAUACUAUACACAUCACUACCUGAACCACUCGGUAGUUCUUGAUGUUUUACGCUGAAGCUAUAUAUACAAUUAUAUCUACAGACAGAAUAUUUACAAAUCCUUCAACUACAGGCCCUAAAAAUCAACUUGUAGCAGAAAUAUCAUUUCCAGCGAGUAUGAAGCUCCUGGCUCCUUUUGACGGGACUUGGCCGGGAAGAGUCGUUGAAACUCUCCAGAGAAUAGACCUCCCAUCCCCCAUCUCUCCAGUAGGUUGAGUAUACUUCUGGGAUGUGCUUGACUCUCCCAUAAUCUCCCCCUUGUUCAUCUGAACGAAGUGUCUGGAUUAGUUCUCGAGGCAUGUCGAAAAAUUCUAGCACUUUCAGCUUUGUCAGAUGCUCAAUGCCUAUUGGUGCCUUCUCCAGCAAUUUACAGCGCUGAAUGCUCAACUUUUCCACGCGAGGCAGCGCACCCACCUCGUCGGGCAAUUCAGUGACAUACGUGUGUUUGAGAUUCAAGGUCUCUAGGUGUUGAAGUUUCCCUAUAUAGGAUGGGACUCUACUUACCUUAGUUUCCUUCAAACUUAGAUACCUAAGGUAAUACAGGUUCAUAACUUGAACUGGAAACAUUUUUAUUGGAGCACCUUGAAUAUCCAGCACAUGGAGCAGCCUAAAACCAUUAGGAAACAAGGUUCGUAGGGGCGACUUCUCUACCACCCCAAACAUGAACAAAGAACGCAACUGAGAGACGCACCUGUUCAGUUGUACGUUUGGCACUGUGUAGUGUAUUGAUAGACGCCGAAUUUUGUCUGGCCACAUUGCAUUUUGAUCCUUGGCUAUAACUGCAAAGUUCUGGUCUCUUGACUUUGAAAUGAUAAUCUCUCGCAGGAGGUCAUGGGGGCGACAUGUUUUGACCCUUCCGUCACUAGCUGUCUCCGCCACUUGCAACAGGCUUCUGUUCAGGAGUUCAUUGAAAUAGUCCUCUGCAACAUCUUCUAACUCCUUUCCAUUUUUUGCUUCCACAAAUCCUUCCGCAACCCAUAGACGAAUAAGUUUCAUGUGUUCAAUUAGAUGAUCCUCUGGAAAGAUGCUCACAUACAAGAAACAAGACUUUAGAUAGUACGGCAGAUCAUUGAAACUGAGAGAAAGCACCUUUUUCAAAUUGAGAAGCUUAUUAUUGUCCUCGAUUUCAGCACCAAGACUACGUCGAACCAUUUCCCAUUCAUCUAUCCUUCGCUUGUCCUUUGCAGCAAGAACGCCACUGAUUGCCACAAUUGCAAGUGGAAGCCCCUCGCAUUUUCUCAAGAUAUUCUUACAAAUAUCCUCCAAAUGACGAGGACAUGGAUUCCCCCGGAAUGUCUUCCUGCAGAAAAGAGUCCACGACUCUUCUGGAAGCAAGGGCUCCAAGUUAUAGACCUUGCCUUCUGAUUCUAUGCGAGAGGUGAAGGCUAGACCAGCAUUGCGUGUAGUGAGCAUGACCCGGCUGCCGCAGUUGUUGGUUGGCAAGGCAUACUUGACAGCAUCCCACUCAUUGACGUGCCAUACAUCAUCCAGGACUAUUAGGUACCUUCUUUUCUGCAGGAGCUCUUUGAUUUUUGAUUUUAGCUGACUGCUGUUCUGGCUCUCUAAAUUUUUGGGGACUGGCUUCCUCUCUGCAGCAAAGAGUUGUUGAACAAUGUCUUUAAGUAGUUCUUCCAUCUUGUAAGAUCGAGACACUGUAAUCCAGGCAUUGACACUAAAAUGUUUCUUCACUUCUGCAUCAUCAUAGACUUGCUUUGCCAAGGUGGUUUUUCCCAGCCCUCCCAUCCCAGCAAGCGAAACUACUUCACGUCCUGAACGACCAUGGACAAGCCAGUCAACAAGCUUGCUUUUGCGCUCCUCGAUUCCCACUAGAUCUGUCAUGUCUAGAAGAAGGGCAUCUUCUCUUCGGUCCUGCCAGCCUGUGCUAGUGGAGCUCGAACCAUGUUCAGCUACGCAGAACUUUUGACGGAGUCUGCGAUGGCCAUCCGAGAUAUUUCUGAUUCUUGAGUUGAAGGAUUUUAUUUGCGAAGCAAUUCGAUAGCGAGCCUUCAUAUUUUUUAUGCAGCAUGACAACUUAUGGAUCAAACCAUAGAGUCCACUCGCAUGAUCAUGUGUCAGGAGAAUUGUGAACUCAUCCAGAAUAUCUUCAGUUUCAUGAGCAACGUCUCUUAUUUGCUUAACCCACACCUUGACUUCCUCAUCGCUCUCUUCUAAUGUGUCUGCAACGCGUAGGAAGGCUCUUAUCCGCUCCAACUCUCCUCUCACAUAAACAAUUUCUUCCCCCCCACCUCUUAAUGACUGCAGCUCAUUUUCAAAAAGAGGUGCAAGCUUGUCAAGUAGAAAGUUCACUGCACUCUCCGCCAUUUUUCUCUCAACUUUUUUGGAUCAUUUUUUUUCCAUCUGCAGGAGUUCCUCUAUGUUGAGGACGACUUUUUAUAACCAAAUUCUUGGUCUUUGUCAUAUUUAUUAAUGGUAUGCAAAUUACGUCAUUGCUGAUGCUUAUCUCAACGAAUCUUAUUCAAGUUGGGCAGUCAAAUAUCCUUUUCUGGGGUAUGGGCUCUCCGCCAACGUCGUCCUUUACUCCUCUAUCCUUCUCGAAUUUACAUGACCAUAAAACAAACUGUGCGAUAUGGUAUUUAAGAUUAUUAAAAAUAAGUAUGAAACUGAUUGAUAAGAUUAUUUAUUUAUUUUGUAAAUUCAAUGAAUUAUGGGAAUUAAUUCUACUUAAUCUUGGAUUAAUUUUACUUGAUUGAAUUAGAUUUAUUGAUUUUACAAAUUUUAUGAAUUAUCAAUAAUUAAUUAACAUGCAUGGAUAGAGGGAUUUCAUUCUUAGUAAAAAUACAAGUAGAAAAGUAGAAAACUCUAGAAUGAAAUUAUCAUUAAUUAAUUAAUUAAUUUAGUUUGCAAGCUUUGAAUGAAAAUGUAUUUGUUGUUGAAAUGCGUUAUUGACAGGUAUCUUGACAACUUUUUUUCUUGUCUUGUUUUUUAUUUGAGAAUAUUCUACGAUUAUAUAUAUUCUUUAUAUAUAUUUGUAGCUGUCUUUUGUUUCAUAUUUACAUAUUAUCUUACAAAUAUAUAAUUGAUUUUUAUUAGCCACAGAUAUUUGAAGGAUAUGUAACACCCAGACUUUUGUCUAUCCUUACCUUCAUCGUAUGCCUGUGUAAUCAAGAAGGAAGAAAAACAAAAGGCUGAGUCAGCUAAGAUAAAGAAAAUGCAAGGAAAUGUCCAAGCAACGUAUAGUUAGAUUCAACAGAUUAAUUACAGUAUCUUAACUCGGUGUACUUUCAUGCUUUUCAAGGAUGAUUGUCUUCCUCUUUUUCUUUUUGGAAACAGCCUUUCAUGUGUUUGCCGAAACAAUUUGCUGAGAGGAUCAUUAAGCCAAUAUUGUUACUUAAUUAUUUAAUGAGUUGCACUACCAUUUGACAACGUAGACAGGCAGAUGCUGAUGUUGUUGAAGUAAAGAUUACGCGCCUGUUUGGAAAAGUAGUAGAGACUACUUUCUAAACUAAUUACGAUUCAACUAGAAUCUCAAACACCGUCGUCCACGACGAAGAAUGCAUUGAAAACCAUUGCAAUCAUAUUAGCAACUUGCAUCAAUUGAGUGUUUUACGGGGCACUGAAAUUGCCAGGAUAUAUAGUUCUUGUCUGUUUCCGUGCUCUUACACUGUUGUGCUUGUGAUAGCUGAAGUCAACAGUUGUGACAUUAACAUCUGCAAUCAUGUUCAUCCAAACUUAUCCUUGUAAACCUCUUUGCAAGCAACCGCCCCUCUUCCUUGAAAAAGCCAGUGCCGCCUGCCUUCAUCUUCAACGUUUCGGAUGCUUUAAUAGCUAUUAUUGGUCGUUUUCAUUGCAUUUAUGGCCUUGGAAAUGUGCCUGCUCUAUAUAUCCGAAUCUGAUCGCUCUUGUAACUUCAUCAAUAUAUCUACUAAUAAUUCAUACAUUGAUAUGUCUCUGUUGCGCCAAGUAAAUUGCAAAGAGAUUUCUCAUGAGUGGAUUUCUUGCCUGAGACCCAAGUUAGGAAAGGUUUAAUUUCGUUGCGUGAAAGAUGGCUCAAGAAUACUUUGACCGGUAGAACCAAAAUGAAGAUUAUAACAUUGUGUAGAAUAUCGAGCAACCGGGAACUGUACUUCUUUAUUCAUUGCUGUUGCUGAUAUAUUGACCGAAAGAAAGAAAAGUUGCAUAAUUUAUAUUUAGAAAAUUAUCUAUCCCUCUGAUUGAUCAGCACUCCUAUACUGCUCUACGAUCUUGUUUCAAGGAAACCAAAUUAGGGUAAGCCAAGAAAAACAGUAUUUUUCAAGGCUUUCAAUUUUGUUUUGUUUUGAUUUGGAUGACAAAUAUAUCUCAUAUCAUUUAAAAAAAUAAAAAAAAUCUAGAACAAAUUUUAUCGAUCCAUUCUUAAUUUGUUUUUUUGGCUAAGAUUCAAUCAAGAUGUUUAGUUUUAUUUUGCCAGUUUUGUUUCUUGAAUAGUGUUUUUUUAUUAUUAUUAUUAUAUGUUUUGAGAGUUUCAAGCGUGUCUUGAUUUAUGGCUGGUAAUGUGAGCCCAGAAUACACUUUCAACAUUUUUUCUCUUUGAAUCUGGGCUGUGUAUAUCCAGGCCUAUCUCUUUUUUUUUUUUUUUGAAUUUUUUUUUUCUUAUUCUUAAUGGGGUUACCAAACAAAACAAUUUUCAAUCGGGUCCUCCAAUUGUCACUCAAUUUUAAUAGGUGAAAGUUACGGGCUGGGAUUUAGAGCGUUUUAUGGGCCUCCGGGAAAAUGGGCCUUCCACUGCAAUUAGUUUGAAGGUAUUUUUUAUGAUUAAUAUAUAUAUAUAUAUGUGUGUUGUCAUAUCUUUACCAUAACUUCACAUAUAUAAUUAAUAAGAAUGGUCACUACAGCUUUAAUCCUAAUAUAACUGAGGAUAAAAAAAAUAAAAAACAAAAUCAUUUUGAUAAUAUAUAUAUUGUUCUUCAGAGCACUGUUAUUAAAUCCGGCUCGGCAUGACAGGUCGACCCGGGACCCGGUGGCUGGACCGGUCCGGGUUUAAUAAAAGACCGGCUGUUGCAAUAGCACAGGCAAACCCGGACGAGACCCGGUUUUUUUUUUCUUCAAAUGUGAGAUAAAAAACUUUUUGGUUUAAAUAUUUUAACUUAAAAUGACAACAUAGUAUUUGAAACCCAUUAGUAUAUAUACUCUAUGUUCCCAAGGAAAAAAUCAUGUUUUUUCAAUGUGGGAUAAAAAACCUUUUGGUUUAAAUACUUCAACUUAAAAGGAUAACAUAGUAUCUUUUCAAUGUGGGAUUUGAAGCCCUUUUAUAUAUAUACUCUAUGUUUCCAUGAAAAAAGUUAUGUUUUUUCAAUGUGGGAUUUGAAACCCAUUAGUAUAUAUACUCUGUUUCCAAGGAAAAAAUCAUGUUUUUUCAAUGUGGGAUAAAAAAACCUUUUGGUUUAAAUACUUCAACUUAAAAGGAUAACAUAUUAUCUUUUCAAUGUGGGAUUUGAAGCCCUUUCAUAUAUAUACUCUAUGUUCCCAUGAAAAAAGUUAUGUUUUUUCAAUGUGGGAUUUGAAACCCAUUAGUAUAUAUACUCUAUGUUCCCAAGAAAAAAAUCAUGUUUUUUCAAUGUGGGAUAAAAAACCUUUUGGUUUAAAUACUUCAACUUAAAAGGAUAACAUAUUAUCUUUUCAAUGUGGGAUUUGAAGCCCUUUCAUAUAUAUACUCCAUGUUCCCAUGAAAAAAGUUAUGUUUUUUCAAUGUGGGAUUUGAAACCCAUUAGUAUAUAUACUCUAUGUUUCCAAGGAAAAAAUCAUGUUUUUUCAAUGUGGGAUAAAAAAUCUUUUGCUUUAAAUACUUCAACUUAAAAGGAUAACAUAGUAUCUUUUCAAUGUGGGAUUUGAAGCCCUUUCAUAUAUAUAUUCUAUAUUCCCAUAAAAAAAGUUAUGUUUUUUCAAUGUGGGAUUUGAAACCUAUUAGUAUAUAUACUCUAUGUUUUCAAGAAAAAAGUUAUGUUUUUUCAAUGUGAGAUAAAAUCUUUUUAAAAUAUUCUUUUAAACUUUAUUAUUUAUAAUCUAUAUUUACAUUGAUUUUUUCAUAUGAAAUAUUAAAACUUUAAUUUUUUUUUUAAUUUUCCCGAAUUGACCCGGGUUGACCCAUGAAACCCGAGACCCGGCCCUUUGACCGGGUCAACCCCCAGAGUGAACCACUUGGACUUCAUGCAAUCCAUGCACAUCCACCGUGAAAUCAUAACCAAGCUUUUUUAUGUCACUGUAGCACUCCAAAUCAUCAUCAUCAUCUUCUUGUACCUUAAUAACAAAAUUACAUUGUCCAUUGUUCAUUAUUAUUGACAUGUCCAUUGCUAUUUCGAACUCAUCCAAUAAUUGAUCUAUUAACUCCUCUAGAUAUCCCCAGUCUAUCAUCUUUGGUCCGUCGUUGUCGCCGCCGCCGCCGUGAUGCAUGUUCAAAGUCUUGAAACAUUUUUCUUUAUACAAGGAAAGAACAAGAGGAUUUAGUUUGAAAAAAUCGAUACCCAAUUUAUCUCUCCUCUCAUCGACAUGUUUGUUAUCAGAUUCAGAAAAUAACGGUACAUCCUCUUUGUCUUGAUCAUCGUGAUCUUGAUUGUAUGAAAAAUAACUAAACCCCAUUGUCGUGUUAGUUGAAUUGACAAACAAAAGGAUAUACAGUUCUUGGAAGAAGAACUUUGAGAGCUAAAGUAACCAAAAGUUGAAAGUCAAGAAACAGGGAGCUGCUACCGAUGGAGAGACUUGGGAGAGAAUGGACAAACAAGAUCUGUGACUAGACUACAAUGAUUUGAUAGUAAUAAUUAAUUGGCGAGGUUCAGUUUAUAUAUAAACACGGGAGCAAACAUGGAGUCCUACCAGGAUUAAACCUUUUGCUAACGUUUCAAAUCCGUUUAGAAUUCUCUCAUCUACUUUCCUGAACGGAGUAGGAUUCACUCUAUAACUAGCUAUUUCGGUUUAACUGCACUUCACAACUUUAAAUAGAAUUAUUAUUACUCAUUUAAUCAAUAAACCAACCAAUGCACAUCACAUUUAUCAAUUGCAUAUUGUUUCAUCGCAACUGUGGUUAGACAAUGAAAGUACAGCAUUCAUACAUCAAAAGCAACAGAGGUAGAUUCCUGCCUUGAUGUGCCUCUACAAAGCAAAGCUUUUGUAUGGAUUGUAGACCUCCAAUAUGAGCUGGUGCCUCGAAACCGUAUUUGGUGGGGAUCCCGUCAUCAGAAUCAAUUUCAUAGCGAUACACCAAGAGGUAGCAAAGUUUUCGGAGCUUCCGAAUCUCAGUAGGCAAUACAGAAAACCUCACUACCAGAAAUUUACUUAAUAGCAACGGAUUUACCGACGGCAUAUUUCAGUUAGUAAUUUGAGGUCGAAAUUACCGACGAAACUUUUUCCGUUCGUAAUUCAGUCGGUUACUAUCGACAGAGUUACCGACAGAAUUCUGGACGGAAAGUUCAGAAUUAAAAAAAAAAAGCGGGUCGCUGACGUGGAGUUUUUGGCGGGGUGGUUUUUUUCGACGGAAUUAUUGAAGAAUUCAAAACGACAAGCCCGUAAAGUGACGUGACCGGUUCACCGUUAAAAAUACCGACAGAAUCACCGACAUAUUCGAAAUGGCAGAUCUGUACGGUGACGUGUCGAUUUUUCCGUCAGAAUAGCCGACAGAUCCACCGACAGAAUAAUCAAUCAGUGAAACAUCAGAAAAAGUCAAUAUAAUUCCCUACCUAUCGACCCUCUCCUCCCCUAUUUCUCCUUCUUCUUCCUAAUCCCAACUCUCCCCAUCUGCAAACAACCAACCCCCAAACAAAAAUCUCCCUCAUCUCAGCACAACAAGUUAUAUUUCUUGAAGUUUUGUGGUCACAGCAUCCGUGUUUUGAUUUGUCGAUGGAUUUUAUCAAUUUUUGUAACUAAUUCUAUCUUUUUAAAUUUUAACAUUUAAAUGUCAAUUUUAUUGUUUUUUUUAGUAUAUGUAUUUUGUUAGUAGAUGUACAUGUUUUAUUGUUAUUUCUCAAACAAACUUGUAGUAUAUGAAUGUAUAAUUUUAUACCUGUUAUGGUUUGUUUUAGAUUUUGUAAGAUUGUAUUUGUUUGUAAAUUGUUAAAACUUUAUGGAAUUACCGAAUUACAUGUGCUAUUUUGAAAUAAUUAAUAGCUUGCUUAAUGGGUCCGUUUUAAGUUUUAUCAAUGGUAUUGCGGUGUGGUAAUUUUCAUAAAUUUAUAUAUAUUAAUUUGUAUGGACGUUGAUAAAUGAUAAUGAAUAUUUAAUAUUUAUGAGAAGUUGUGAUUGGUUUAUUGGAUAAUCUUGGGGUAAACUAAUAUUUUUGCAAGUUUAUUUACCUAACUUAGUUAAUUAAUACAUGAUAUCAUCAUAAUUUUGUAGAGGUUCAAUAUAAGUCAUGGAUGAUUGUUCAUGGAUGUAUCGAGAUUCACCCCAAGAAUUACGGAGGAUGGAUUAUUGUAACAGGGUUCAGGGUUUUAUUAAUUUCGCAACAUCUAUUCCCAGAAAUUUUAUUGGAGGCGGUAUUAGGUGUCCAUGUAGGAAGUGUCAAAAUAAAAAGUAUCUGCAUCCAGAUGUUGUAAUGAUGCAUCUUCUACACAAAGGGUUUAUGGAGAAUUACUAGUGUUGGUAUGCACAUGGAGAAGUAUUUGUUAGUAAGAGGAGAAUGAGAGAAACGAUGAUUGGGUCAACUUCUAGUGCUAGCAACGUACAUGAAGCGACAAAUGACAACACUAAUCCUUACAGAAAUAUGGUUAUGGAUGCAAUGAGAAUGAAUCAAGGUAAUGUCAGUCAAAGUCCAAUUGUAGAAGAAGAACCUAAUGCAGAUGCAACUAGGUUUUUUGAUUUGUUGAAAGAUUCUGACGAACCAUUAUGGGAUGGCUGCACAAACCACAGUAAAUUAUCGGCCGUGGUAGAGGUGUUCACCAUCAAGUCAGAUCACGAGUUGAGUGAGGCCCUGUGUAAACCUGUAAAACGAAGCCCUGUGUAACUAUCAAAAUGAAGCCCUGUGUAAAACCCUUUUUUCAUGUAAUUUAGAUUAUGGAUGAUAUAUUUUGUAACGUGAAAUAUUUAUUGUUUAAGCACUGUUGUUAUUGUUUUAUGUGAUGGACAGUUUAUCAUUUAAGUUUUUGCAGGAAGGUAAAUAGGCAAUACAAAUACAACAUUUCUUGUACAGUGCAACAAUUACCGACGUCCAUACUGACGGAUUCACGUUCGUCAACAUCUCACAGAGAGUUCGAAAACAAUUACUCGAAAUGACACAAUCACCGUGACUAUACGACGAUUCAAGUCCGUCGGCAUCUCACAGAGAGUUCGAGAAUAAUUACUCAAAUGCCACAAUCACCAACGACCAUACUCAAAAUGCCAUACUCAUCGAAGAAUAUACGACAUAAUUAUGUCAUUUGGUAAUUUGUCGGUAGGCAAAUGUUACCGAAAAAAAUACCGACGGAUUGUGCGAAUUCCAAAGGGUGGUGCAUUGAAAGAAUCUCUGACCGCGUCAGAUUGCCGACGGAAUUAUUGACGGACCGUGAAAAAUAUGGAGGGUAAUUAAAAAUUUUGGUGCGGAAUUCAAAAAUUAUCGACAGAUUUGACACUUCACCGACGGAUUAAAUUAAAAUAAUAAUAUUUUUUUUUAUUUUGUCGGUAAAAGCCCUAUAAGUUCCAGCGACCACCCCUUCAGUUCAUUUUUUCUUCUCCACUAUUUUUCACCUUAAAUUUUGAUUUUUUUCCUCUCAAUUCUUCAAGUCUUUCACCUAGAAUCUCUAGCAAGAUUUGUUGUGAAUCUUCAUCACAUUAAAAGGUAUGUGUUUUUUCUAUUUCAUUUUAUUUUAUUUUUUUUAGUAUUUUUAUUUUUGUUGGUGUAUUUUUUGUAAUGUAGAUAAAUUUUGAAUUCAACACAUUAUUAAGGUAUGCAUAUUUCUUUCCUAAAGUCUAUAGUUUUUUUUUUGAAUUUUUGAAUAUUUUUUUAUUGUUGUAUUGGCAUAAUUAUUAUUAGUUAAUUUGUUGAAUAUUUGUUGUUAAUGUUGAAUUUACCUUAGAAUUAGUAAUUGAAUAUGUUGGAAUAAUUAGUAAUUUUACUCUAUUAUUGCAUGAUUUGUGUUUAAUUAUUUCCAUUGAUUUUAAUUGUUAGUCUAUAUAUUUUUUUUUAAUUUAUUGAAUAUAUUUUAUUGUUGUAUUGGCAUAAUUAUUGAAUAAUUUGUUGAAUUAUAAUUGUUAAUGUUGAAUUUACAUUAGAAUUAGUAAUUGAAUAUGUUGGAAGAAUUAAUAAUUUUACUCUAUUAUUGCAUGAUUUGUGUUUAAUUGUUUUCAUUUAUUUUGAUUGUUAGUCUAUAGUUUUUUUUGAAUUUAUUGUUUUGUUGUAUUGGCAUAAUUAUUGAAUAAUGUUUUGAAUUGUAAUUGUUAAUGUUGAAUUUACCUUAGGAUUAGUAAUUGAAUAUGUUGGAAUAAUUAGUAUAGAUUGGGUCAAUUGGUUGUGGCUAUUGUUAAUAUUUGCAGGUUUGUGGAUUUGGGUAGUAUCCAGUAUAGGGGAGGUGCUGUCGAAUUUUUUUAACAUUUGAAUUUAAUUAUAUAAUUAUUUGUAUAAAAUUGGGUAGAUGCGUAGAAUGAAAACCAGAGCUGGUCGUUCACGUAUGGUCGUAGCUAGUUCAUCUAGCAGCGAGGAUGAUAUUUCCUUAGAUGCCUCUCAAGAAGAGGCACCUACACCACCUGCGCCGUCAACCGAUGCUGCCUCUUCCAGCGCUAGUUCACAGCGCAGAGGUGGCGUGCCUUCACAGCAGAAUCAAUUUACCCUCAAGUACGAGGCACAGUGGAAGGACGACCUUUCAAUGUAAGUUUGUUAAGGUUUUAGUUUUUUUUUAAAAAUUAUAACAUAAUUUAUGAAGUAAUCACUAUUUCAUUAAUUUCAUUUAUUUCAGGUUCACAAACAUUGAGGCCGCCCAGUAAUAUCAUCGGCAUUUAAAUCAUCGAUGGAGAUUCCAUUGUUUCAAUGGAGUCAGAUAUCCAGGCAUCCUGAAUGGAUGCCUCAAAUCAAUGCAUGGUUUGACAGAUUUAACGUUGGUUAAUUAUAAAAUUGUAAAUAAAUCAUUGUUUAUAUUUAAAAUUAAUUUUUUAUACAGGAUAAAUUUUGCUGGACAAUGAACAUAACACUGUUGUGAGGAGGGUGUGGGAAAAUCACGCAGCAACUAGGUAACAUCGAAAAAUAAUACAAUUUUUUUUAGACAAAAAUUUAUGUUUUGAAAUGUAAUUUUUGAUUGUGUGAAGUAGGUCGCGUGAUUUUUGGUACGAAGCCCAAAAAAGGACAAAAAAAUAGCGAGGGAUAUGGGGUUCCAAGUUGGAACGAUGUUGCGUUUGGAGGGAUUUCAAACCGAUAUACAUCCCAAUUGAUAUAUGGCCGCACUAUCUUGAGCACGUGACAUUGAGCGGUUCACAUGACGCUCACAGUCCGGUGCUGGCAACCGGAAUCACCAAUUUAUGGCUCGGUGACAACGCACACCAGCGACCCUAUUUCGUUUGCUGCACAUGCAAAACAGAUGGUAAGAUUAAUUUAAAUGAAAUAUAUCAUUCAAUUAAUUUGUUGUUAAUAAAUUUUUUAUUAUAGGCUACGUCUCUUGGAUGUGAGCCGAGCCCGAUGGAGUUGUUUUGGAGACACACAUGUGGAGUCAAGACCGCCAAAAGGGGGCACAACAGUUCGUUGACAGCCGUGCUCAACAUUUCAUGGUAUGUUUGUUCAACCAUUUUAUUUUGUAAGUUAUUAUGUUUUUGAAUUGAAUAUGAUGAUUACUUUUUUAUUAUUAUCAGGAGACCUAUAAUAAACAGUUGAGGGAGAGAUACGAGGAUGAUCCUUUGACCCAUGUAGAAUUCGAUCCGGAUUUAUGAAUGGAGGUUGGAUCAUCAGGUGGACCCGAUAAAAAUCGGGUUUACGAUCUCUCCAACACUACGGCCAAGAACUUGCGGUCGACCCGUAGUGUGACACGACCAAAAGAUUGAUGUCUUCUCCCAAGUGCAGGAGUGUCGAAGUAAUAAAUAACCCGGUAAGACCGGGGUCGAACCACAGAGAGGUUAAUUGUAUAAAUUAUAAAUAACAACACAACAAUAACAAUAAUAACAACAAUAACAAUAACAAUAACAGUAAUAGUAAUAAUAAUAAUAAUAAUAAUAAUAAUAAUAAUAAUAAUAAUAAUAAUAAUACUCAGUACGUGGCGUUGUUAUACCUAAGAAUGAUCUAAAAAAUCGGGUCACAGGUUUCCAGCCUAUAUACUGAGUUUAUGGAAAGAUCAAAGAGAUAUAUUAUAUAAUAUAAACAUAUUUCUAAUACGAAUGAACAAGGCAGGACCAACAAUGUCAGGAUCCUUGAUCAAACACAGAACAUACUUAACGUACAUAAAAUAUAACAAGAAUGUAAAUAAUAAUAAUAAUAAUAAUAAUAAUAAUAAUAAUAUUAGUAGUAGUAAUAAUAAUAACAAUAAAAAGAAGAGGAGGAAGAAAUUAAUGAGAACUUUGAGAUGGAAGAUUAAUGUAAGGAUUAAACAAUAAUAAAAAUAAAUGUCAAGGUUAGAGGAUCCACCAAUAGUAUAAACUCUUAUUACUCAAUUUGGAAACCACACACGAAGGAGGUUCCAUUCGGAUGAUUUGUCAUUAAUAGCUCAUUAUAAAUUAUUAACAUGAUCAUAUUAAUUAUCUUAUUUAUAUAACACCAAACUUUUAAAUAUUUUCAGGAAUUCAUGAUGUUAAUGAUGUUAACAACAAAUCAAGUACCUUUCAUAGCCCAUGUGUAGGUAAUACCAUACGGUUGGGCUAUGAGAGUGCCAAGCAUUUGUUGUACCAAGUAUUAUACAACACAAAUCUAGAUUAACCAUUUAACAAGCAAGGUAUUAAGAAUUAGUAAGAUAAAAAGAUAAGAUAUGUUAAUAUUAAACAUUAAGGUCCAUGUUGAGCUAAACAUAAUGAAGAAGAGAAACAUAAAUAAACAAAACAAGAACAUAAAUAAAAUACAAGUUAACUAAGGAAAGGAAAUGAAAUGAAAAGCAUAAACAAGAAAUUAAUGAAAGCAAAACUUAAGAAUUACAAAAAAUAUAAAGAGAGAAAUAAAGAGCAUGAACUUGAUCUGAACAACCCCGUCCCUAAAUACAUGGCAAAUGCCUCCUUUUAUAGGCCAAAAUUCGGAAUUAUUGAUUUGAUGACUAAUUGUUGAGUAGGUGACCAACUUUUGACUUAGUGAAAAUCCUUAUUAUCUUGUCUAAAUAAAACGAAAAUGCUAGCAUCAGAACUGGGUCCACUUGAAAGCAUGAAAGUUGUAGGAAAUUGACUCAGAUUUCCAGGAAAAAAAAGUGGAGGUGAUUUGGACUUCUAGAACUUCAGAUAUGGGCCAAACACUGAACAAUGUUUGGGCUGCAGGACUUCGACCUUCUUAGAUCUUGAUGUCCAAAUGAAAGUUGUAGGCCUAUGUCUUAUCAAAUCUCUGUAAAAAGUUCAGAUCAUUUGGAUAUCUAGAACUCGAGAUAUGACCCAAUUAUCGAACAGUGUUCCAGUUUGGACUGCACCAACGUCUCUUUUCUAAGCUUCACCCUUCUUUAUCUUCAAAAUUUCAGUAGUUGAAUUCAUCAAUCAAUCCUUUGAUUUAUGUGAUAUGCCUGCAUUUAAGAUGAACAUUUACCAUAUAUUAGGGUAUUAUAUAAUAUUAGACUUGUUAUUAUAAAACAUGCUUUAGUUAAGGAGUUAUUGAUACUUUAAGUGUAAAAUGAUGAUAUAAACCCUUGAUAAACAUGCACUUUUAAGUACUAAUCAUAGUGCUUCAACCGUUGGGAGCUCCCAAUAUAAGGAGUUUGUGGCCUUGCAACAACACACGGCUUAGCUUACCGAAAAAUAUGACCACCUAUCAUCGGAGUACGAACAAAGAGCAGCUUAUGAACAGCUUCGCGAAAUGGUCAUGAACAUGGCAUCACAGAGUGGAACAUGUGCGCCUUAUCCUUUUUGGCAGUAUGACCACCAGCCUCCUCCUCCUCCUCCUCCUCCACCUUUAUAUUAAUUUGUAAUAAACAUUAUUUACCUUUAAAAUUUCAUUUAAUAUUUUUUUGAAACACAUUCAUUUUGUAAUGAAUAUUAUUUAACUUUGAUUUUUUGUUUUUGAUGUUUAAUAUAAAUUUUAUUUCCAUAAUUGGUUUUUAUUACCAUUAAUUUAUAUCAUUUUAUUUUAUAUGUAUUCUAAAUAAUUUUUUUUUAAAAUUUUUUAUAAAAAACUAUUACAAAGGGUUUUACCAACAUAAUGAAUCUGUCGGCAUUUGACAGUAGCUGCCACAAUCACCGACGACUUUCCAGACGAAUACAUUCGGUCGGUAUUUCAUACAGUCACCGACACACUCACCGAUAAAUUUACUGACGGUAAGUGGCCAUCGAUAAAUCACGGUAUCACCGAUGUAAUAAAAUCCGUCGGUAUAUUUCAAGCGGGAAACUUUUUUUUUUUGGCGCGCAAAUUCUUUCUAUAAAACCAUCGGAAAAUGGUUUUUUUGUGUUUCCGACCAAUAUAGUGACAAAAUGUGGACCAAUCACCGACGAAAGGAAAGCCGACGGAUGUUGUUCGGCAACGAAUGCUGGAAAACAUGCCAAGCACUUGUGUGCCACACAUUGUCCAGGACAAUCUGGUAUUUCUUUUGUCGGGAGGAAUUCAUGGAUGACACUCCUUAGCUUAUUAUAGUUCAUGUUGUCCACACCUUUUGGAUCCUUGAAUCAUUAUAUUAUUUUUAUUAUAGUAUCUCCGAUGUGACUCUAAGAUACUGAUCACUCGAGACUUGAUGGUUUGAAUUUUUGAGGCAAUUCGACGCCGAGCUCUUGCAUCCUUAAUAGAGAAACCCUUGCCCAAUAUCACUAGCAAGGGAAAGGCUGAAAUUAUCGAGAGCAUCCUUUGUGUCAUAAGCUGCAUCUCUCACUUUCUUGAUCAAACAUUUUAGAACAGGAUCACCAUCUUUCAUUGCUUUUCAAGUAUUAUGAAGGCUGUCAUGAACUGUUGGGAAAUCCGACCGGUGAUGUACUGAUAGUUAUCCAUUGGAGGCUAAGGACUCUGACACAAUAUUUAACGUGGUUCGACAAAUUAUCUGUAUGCACGAGAGAGGUGAAUAUUAUUAGAGAUAUAGAAAUAAUACAAAACAUAUACAUGAAGGAGGAGGAUCACAUCCACUCUAACUCAACUCCCAGCACACACACACUGCUGCCACUCUUUCUCUUUUCUUCUCUUCACUUCACUCUCUACACUCUCUCAUUUUGCUCUCAAGUGAUGCCUCUAUUAUAGGCAUUAAUGGUAAGCUUCUCCAGCACAUUUUCAGCAUGGAUGGGACAAGAAAGCCAUACAAUAUGGCAUCAAUCAUGCCACAAUUUAUGCUUCCAUUUUGUACCAAGUGGGUGAUAAGUUGUCCCACUUGUACAAAGUUGGGGUGGGAUAUUUGCCACAACAAUGGCAAUAUCCUAACAAUCAACCCCUUUGCCAUUUGUGUGGGCAAUUGUCCUCUUGCUUCUUCAGCAUAAGCUUGCAUCUUGCAACUUUUCCAAGCUUCCAUUCUGAGAGCGUCUUCGACUAAGUUUGCAGGUACUUGCCAAACCUUUCAAUCUUCCAGAGUUGUCGCACCUGACAUCGCGGCGGCUCUAAAAAUAAAUCUUGAUUUAUGAAAAAAGAAUAGAUUUCUGGCAUCUUAUUCUUUUAGGGAAAAUGUCUUGUUUAAGGAGUCGCCACCUAGUAUUAUGGUUACUAGGAACCAUAACUAGUCAACAGAGAUUCUAUGGCUUGGGAUUGGUUACAUAAAAGGAAAGAUAUUAUCACCAUUUAAACGUUCUGCCUGAGGCAGACUUCAUUGCUAGUUUUGUUUUAAAUUGCUAAAUGUUUAUUAGUUUUAUGCUAUGAUAAUUUGCUUAUAAUAUUUCUGACUCUGGUGCUAGAGAAUAUUCACAUAAAAUAAAUUUAUUUUUACACAUGCAUAUUUUUACACAGUCACAGGCUUGACCCGACUGGCCAUUGAAAGCACGCGUGAACUUAUUCAUGCGUGCAUGACCCGGUUAAGUAGUGAAUUAAUUAUAAUUCACUUGCUACAGUAGCAAGUGAAUUAUAAUGCAGGAGGGUAAAGAUGAGGGACGACUUACCUGGUGCAGCAAGGCGCAGCCGGAGACGCUGUGCUGGAUGAACGACGCUGCCUCCUCUUAUUCUUCCUCUCUUCUUCCUUCUCUUCCUCCUUCUCUUCCCCGAUUCGUCCCUGUAUUUCUCUCCUAGAGUGCCCUGUUUCUGGUGCAGUGGCUGCUGAAGAUGGAGCUCUGGAGUUGCUGCUUAUAGAGGCGACGAAAACAGUUGUGACGCUAGUGGUUGCUCUUAUUACUGCUUUCCUUGGUCUUACUUAUGUGCUUCCUCUGCUCAGGACAUCAACGAUGGUGAUGAAGAUGUUAGGUGCUGUCGGUUGAAUGGAAGCUUGCUCCCCUAUUUUAUUUUUCUGCAUCUUCCCUAGUUUUCCUUUCCUAAGUUGUUGCUGUGAUAUUAUUGGAAAAUGAAAACGCAGACGAAGAUGAUGGUCGAUGGUGAUGGAGGUCUGAACCCAGGAGAUGGGGGUUCUUCCCCUGCGUUUUUCUUGUUGUUGUUCGUCUCUGUAUCUUUAUUUUUUGUUCUUUAUUCUGGGUCUCCUUUUCUCUCAGUUUUCCCCCUUGUUCGUUCGUCUCCUCUGUUUCUUUGAGAAGAAACUAGGGGAACGAAAGUCUGCCCUUUCUUUUUCUUAGUCCCUCUCGGUUAUGCCCUCUUCUUUUCUCCCCAUCUCAGUCCCUUGGUUAUGUCAUCCCUCUGUCUACCCUCUCAGCCAUUUUCUUCUUCUCUGGUUUUAUCCCUCUUAGAAUGCCAUGCGGUCGACCGUGCUCUCUGUUUUAAUACAGGAGUAAAGGUAGCAGUUUUCUUUUUUUCGGGUGAAGAAGAUGAACAGUGUUGAAACUUAUUUUGAACUUAUCAAGCCCUUGGAUAAACUUUAAUUGAACCCCUUCAUUUCAAAGAAUUUUACAAACAGUCCCUGGAUUUUAAUUUCUUGCAAAUUUUACCAGAAUCAGCCCUAUACUUUGAUAAUUUUUCAAUUAAACCCCUGAUUUCAUUAAUUAAAUUAAUACCAAUCUCAAUUAAGUCUCAAAACUUUUCAAUUCUCUAAUUAAGCCCUUGAUUGGAUUAAUUAAAUCAAUUUCAAGCUUAAUCAAGUCUCAAAAUUAUCAAUUCUCCAAUAAAAACCCUUGACUUGAUUAAUUAAGCUAGUCAAGAGUUUAAUUAAACCUUUAAACUUCCAAUCACAUUGCCCUUAACCCAAAUUUUAAUUCAUUCUUCAAUUAUUUUAUUUUUUACUUGUUUUUCGUCAUUUGUUUCAUCAUUUUUUCAGUAAAUAAAAUAAUUAAAAUAAAAAAGGUCAAAAUUGAGGUUAUGAUAAGAGUCACCAAAGCACACCCUUGCUUACACCAAAGGAUCACUUCAACCAGAUGGUCUCCCACAUCACAUCUGAAGAGUUAUAAUACUUAUGUCUGAGACACAACAUUCCCUUUCUAGUGUAUCAACCAUGCUCAGUCUGGAAUGAUUUUUCAAGCCUUUCACCAAGGCUUACAACACCCUCUCAAAGAAAUAUUUCCAAGUGCAACAGUCAUUAUCUGAGCAUUUCAAUAUGAUCACAAGCUUACCACUCUUCCAAGAGUUUACUCAUCUAGGAGUUGCGUCUGCCCUCUGUUCCACUCUAGAAACCACACCUUACUUCUCCAUGAGUCUCCUACUCUUAGUCUCAAGAGUCCAGGUAGCUCUCCACCUUUAACUAUGGGGGCAGCCCAUUAAAGAUUGAUCCAUAUCUGUCUUCAUACUCUAAGUAUUACGAUGCCAUCACCGAGCUCACCACCUUGACAAGAGUCAACUUGUUCCAGGAACCUGCGCAUGCCCUCUGCUCCUUCAUAGCAGUAGCGUCUUAAUGUUCCACAAGUCACCCACUUAUUGUCCAAGGCAAAUGUCUUCUAGCUCAUUGAUCUUUAACAUGGGGGUAAUAUCCAUGAAAGUCAAUCAUGCAUUUAUCUUCAUUAUCAUCAUAGCCACUUCAUUGGCUAUACACUUGUCCACUCAUAUCUAGCCAUCACAUCGACUCUGGGGUGUUCUGAACUGGGGCUCCUAUCAUGGCCCUCACACCUUUUUUAAGGUGUUUUCGCAUGUUGUCAUAAGAUAGUAUGAACUGGGGCUCCUAUCAUGGCCUACACACCUUCCAUCUAAGGUGUCUUCGCUCGUCGUCAUGCGAUGGUCUGAAUCUGGGCUCACAUUGUGGCCCUCAUACCUUCUAUCUGAGGUGUCUCUGCUCGUCGUCAUGCGAUGGUCUGAAUCUGGGCUCACAUUGUGGCCCUCAUACCUUCUAUCUGAGGUGUCUCUGCUCGUCGUGGAGCGGUCUCAUCCUCCUUUAUCGGGAUGGUAGUAGUGGCUCCAAGAUUCUCUACCACCAUGUGGACUUGGGAGAGAUUACUGCCACUGAUUACAUAGAAAGAGAAAGUUGCGGUAUACUCCUCGCAAUCCUCCACCUUGAUUUAUAUGUUUGGAGCUUAUACUCCUUUCUGCUUGAUAGCUCUACCUAUACCAACUCUCUUUGGUGUCUUCGCCUUUCAUAGGCGGUCACCUUUUAUCAUAGGCGUUCACACCCCCUUAAUUUGGUGCUUCUGCAAGAGCUCAUCUUUCCAUCCUUGCAUGCACUGGAAAGGUCUUCGCGUGUUGUCUUCAUCAAGAGCACAAGAGACUUCUUGUUGUACACAGUCUCUGCUCUGAGCUUUAUCCGGGAACUAUUCUUCUCCUUGCACCUGUUGUCUCAUUACAGUACCUCGUUGGCUCUUUCGGGUACUCUUGCACAAUCUUAGUGGAAAGGUCUUCGCGUGUUGUCUUCAUCAAGAGCACAAGAGACUUCUUGUUGUACACAGUCUCUACUCUGAGCUUUAUCUGGGAACUAUUCUUCUCCUUGCACCUGUUGUCUCAUUACAGUACCUCGUUGGCUCUUUCGGGUACUCUUGCACAAUCUUAGUGUGCCCUUGUGCGAUUUCUGUUCUUCAGAUUUUCUCCUUAUUCCUUGCUUAUGUUUGACAGCAGCUCAUCCUAUCACAACACCUAUCUAAGUUAAAAUAGGGUGCCAAUCUUUAUCCCCUUGCUGUAUUUCUCUUCCAUUAUCAAGGUCUUCAUCAAUUAUCCCCUUGAGAAAUCACAGUCACCGAAUCUAACUUCUUUGGAGAAAUCACCACUCCAUCAGAUCCUUGAUCAUACGGAACCCAACUGUUCCCCUUAUGCCGUCAUUCUGCUAGUCUUCACCAGUUUCACUACAGACUGUUACAUAUAUGAAAAUGGUACCAUAUGGAUAAUCCUUCAGAAAGAUUGGAGGGGUCACAACGGUCCCGCUUAAAACCCAAUCUCCUAGCUAGAGCUUCUUAGGCCAUAUCUAUCCAUCGUACUGCCUUUCCAUAUAUGCAACCAUUUGCUAGCUUUGUUGCGGCUUUAUUUUAUAAGUGAUAUGGAAUACACACACACGCACACACACAUCAUUUCUCAACAUCUAGUGAGACUACUAGUGCUUAGAUUCGUCAAGAUUGGUCUUCAUCAGUUUUCACGAUCCACCUCAAAUCGUCCACAUGAUCGGGUGUCUAGAGUGUCCCAAUUUUGCCUUCCAUCAAGGCAAUUAAAUUUCCCCACUAAACAAUUCAGCACAUAUAAUUGGACAAAUGUGUGUGACUUCUUCUUCUUCAUCUCCAUCUCCAUCGACCAUCAUCAAGACCUUCAGAUGCCUCCUGAUUGGGCAAUCUCUCUUUAAUAAUUCACCACCACCACUUUCAGUCCAAAUUUCAAUGAUUGGACCGUACCAUUGCAUCCAGAAUAAUCAAAUUAGCUGGAAACAAGUUUUAAAUCGUCCAAAUCGCAUUUCAGACGGCUAAGAUUUGAUCAAAACAAUUCUGGCCUCAUCAACGGCUCAGAUUCAAUCUCAAAUGUGGUUGCACAUAGACUCCACUGCAUAGAAUCCUAUCACUCGACUUGAGGCACGGCUCCAACUCGGCUCAAUCCAGCUUCGCUCGCGGUUGAUGACAUGGCAAGUGGGUCCCACUACGCUGAUGUGUAUGCUGACUGGGCGAUGACAUGGCAUGCCAACUAUGCAUGUUGAUGUCAUCCUCCAUCCGGGUCAGUCGUAUGGGUCUAGUCAUCUGGUAUUCGGGUCGGGUCAGCCCAUCCAGGCGAAGAAGACGUGGCACGCGUGGGGUGCAUUGGCACGUGUGGCCAGGUAGCUCGCCGGCGUGUGGGCGCGCGUGUGGCCAUGCCCGACGUCCUAUUUUGAUGCUGUUUUGACUUUUCACUAGUGGCUUCGUCUCUUCCUCUUCUACACGGUGAUAUGGUCAAAAUACAAUUUUGACAACUUUCAUUUUUGAGCAAAAAUCAAACAUCACUUUAAACCAUAUGCUCUCAUAUCAAUUGUUGGAGAAUUCAACCGGUGAUGUACUGACAGUUGCCCAUUAAAGGCUAAGCACACUGACACAAUAUAUAUUUUUCAGCAUGGUGGGGACAAGAAAGCCAAUUAUGCCACAAUUUGUGCUUCCACUUUGUGCCAAGUGGGUGAUGAGUUGUCCCACUUAUACAAAGUUGGAGUGGGGUAUUUGUCACAACAAUGGCAAUAUCCUAACAUGAACUCAAGUUCAUCACUGUUAUACUCUACUUCACCCUGGACUCCUGUCAGUUGUUUUCCCCUUUCUGCGAGGAAGUCUCCGAGCUUGGUGAGUAAAAAAGUAACCACGCCCUCAGACAUGGAUGGUCUUUUUAGCUUUGCAAUUAGUGUUUUUGAAACUUCAGGGAGUGCAAUAAUGGUGUUUGGAGUUGGGUUUGGCUUGUAACUUUCGAAAGUUAAAUCUGUCUACAUAAUGGCAUUGCAUAGAUAUAUCUGGUAAAUCUGAAUGAGCACUUCCUUCACGAAAAUGAUUUAUAGUAGCCAAUGAGAUGUUUUCUUAAGAGUGCAGGCCACUUCCAAUCACCAUCAGCUAGGCUAAUCUAUAAUUGCUGUCUACAUAGUUUACUAUUUCAAUCUCUAGGCAACUUCUCUGCAAUCGCGUGUCCAUCUGUCUAACCAGUGCCUUAAUCCUUUACUUGAACAACGAAAUUCCUUUUCUCUCUCUCACGGAUAAAAUGCAAAUUAAUAAUUGUUUUUUUUUUUUUUUACCAUGUAGUUUUAGCAAAGAAACUUAAAAAAUUUGUUAUUUUCUUCUCAGAAAUUUAAGACCCCUGCUGUUAUCAGAUACAAAUGGAUUCUUAAGCCCACCUUGCUGAAUGUAAAGAGAUGAGGUGGUUGAGUGUAAAUCUUGCAAUAUAAUGUCUAACCAGCUAGAUUGUUGCGACAUUAGCUGUUUUAAAUUAAUGUAAAACCUGUCCAAUGACUCGAGCUAGUGACACGAUGCUCUCUCACAUGCAGACGAUAGUAUAAUAGAUUGCCGGGUUGUUUGACACAAUUUUCUGUUUCUGUUUCUAUUUCUAUUUUUUAGAAGUGUUUUUUGGCUUGAAAAAAAAACAUUGAAUUGAUGUUUAUUUGUAGUGUUUUCUGCAUCCCUGUACAGAUAACAAGGUAACAUGUGCUUUCUCUGCAUAUUUAGUUGAUAAAUCUGUAAUUCUGAAGUGCCAAGCGGUAUUUACCAUUUGAUGACAAGGAGUUUGGUUUGGAUACUGGUAUCCCAAUUGCAAGUUGGCAUGCUGUUUUCAAACUGAAACUUGUUAAAGUGGUUUCCUUUGUUUUUCCUUGUGGCUUAUUUCACUCCUCAUCUAGGAACACGUAACUCCAUAACCACAUCAGAACCUAACACCAUGGACUGACCUCUAGAGAGCAAGCGGCACAUGGGACUAGACAAGAUAACCCGAGUGUUGAAUUUACUUGUGUCGGCAUUUGGUGCGUGGGCUGCAGGUCAUAGACAUUACUUUUCAUCUUGUGUUCUGUUGUCUCUUCUUGUCCUACCCGGCCUUUAUCCAGUUUCGUUAGCAUAUCAAGCACAUAUGUCUAUAGAUGGAAGCCAAAGAAAGUGCUUAGUUGGUCUCCCUAAACUAAGCUACUGAAAUCCCUUAGAUUUUGCAAAAGAAUAGCUUCUUCAUCAUAGAAUUGAAAAUCUGGAUUGUUGCUUCCAUUUAGGAGUGUUUUUUUUUUUUUGUAUGUCUGUUAAAAUGCAAAUUUGGCACUAGGCUGAUUUCAGAGUUCUGCAAGUUUUGAAUGGUGUUUAUCUCUUCGAAGCUGCAAUCGCAGAAUUUCCUGCCCUUGGAACUCUUUUUAUUUUGGAUUAUGAUUUUGCUUUGUUUGGUUGGUUGUGAGCUAUCUUCUCUUUUGUGGUAUCUUCAUAAACAUCAUAGUUUUUGUAAGGAAAGUUUGAUCACAUUCAUUAAAAAAAAAAUGCUUUCAUUUAUUUACAAUCAACUUCGGAACAUCAUAGUUUCAAGGAAAUUAUGCAACCUCUAGCAUCUAUCACAAAAUUACAGAUGCAAAUCAUGGCUUCCAAUCAGGUUGCCUUUUCAAUAGAAUGUUUGGUCUUGCAUAAUUGUAGUAGAUUUCCCAAUUGCCAUUUUUCUGAUAGGUGCAGUAAAUCUCAGGCACAUUUCGAACCUCAUGAUAAUCUUCACCGUCUCCAUCCGGAUGGAGCCUCCUGAUGAAAUCGUUGGGCAUAUCAAAUGGAAGAAUCUGCAAUAUUUUAAUGAAUUGGACAACGGGCUUUUGGAGAAAAGUCCUUCCCGCUCUCUGUGCAGCUCCAUCAGGCCGUAGCCUCUUGACAAAAUCAUACGGCAUGUCGAAAAAAUCAAGUGCUUUGAGCUUAGCGAGGUGUUUGAUUCCAGAGGGCACCUUCUGCAGUAGUUUACAACCCUGGACAACUAGCUUCUGGAGAGAAGGCAAUGCUCCCUUCUGCACGGUUAUAGAUUUGAGCCGUUCUAAUUUGUUUAGACCCAAAACCUUAAGCUUUUUGAAUCCUUCAUGUCUGAAAUGCAAUGCUUCGCCACUAUAAACUUGUAUAAAUUCAAGGUGCACCAGAUUGGGCAAAUUCUGAAGAAAUAGCAGCGGAUCUUCACGUAAGCGACUCCAUUUUAAAACCAACUUGACCAAACUAUCAAGUGACAGUAUCCAGUCUGGUAACCUCUCUAAACGUCCUGUCAAGUAUAGUCGCUGAAGAAAUUGAGGAGGAGAAGAUAAGUACUCCAGAUCAAUGACCUCGCUCUCUGUUAUUGAAGUAACAGACAAUGCACGAAGGUUCGUCAGCUUAUCAAUGGAGGAACAUAAAUCCCUCCCAUCUUCCUUCCGGAACUUUAUAAUGCCUAACCUUCUCAAAUGAAUCAAUCUUCCCAGUUCUGACAUCAGUUUCUGGCCUUGAUCUGCUUCUAGGAAGCAAAGCUUUUGUACUGAAAGUAGAUUUCCUAUCUGAGCUGGUGCCUUGAAACCGUGUUUGUUGCGAAUUUGAUCAUCAGACUCAUGAGUUUCAUAGCGAUACACUAGCAGGUGGCGAAGCUUUUGGAGCUUCAGAAUGUCAACAGGCAACUCAGUGACCUGGGCAUGCUUCAAAUCCAAACUUUCCAGGUUCUGAAGCUUGCUAAUUGAGCUCGGAACGGAAUUCACCAUGGUAUUCCUCAAACUUAGGUACUUUAAAAAGAUGAGGCUGACCACUUCAUUUGGAAAUUCCUUUAAAGGCGUGCCUUCCAUAUCUAACACGGUAAGCAGCCUUGAACGACUAGAAAGCGAAAUAAAUUUAGGAGGCCUGGGAAAAGAAUCUAUUCCCCAGAACACCAACAAUGAACGGAGGCGAGAUGCAACAUGUAUUUGUCGCACGCUUGGCAUGGCGUUAUGUAUCGAUACACGGCGGACCUUUUCAGACCAACUCAUGUUCUGUUCCUUGGCUAUCGCAACGAAAUCUUGCUCUUUUGCCUUUGUAAUCAGUAUCUCACGGAGAAGGUCGUGGAUGCGGCAUGUUUUAACUUGUCCAUAACUGGUUGCCUCUACCACUUGGACCAAACUUCUUUUUGAGCUCAUUCAAAAAAUCUUCUGCAACCUCCUCUAAUGUCAUUCCCUCCCUUCCUUUCACAAACCCUUCUGCUAUCCACAAUCGAAUAAGUCUCAUACGCUGAAUCGGUAUGCCCUCAGGGAACAUGCUGAAGUACAACAAACAGGAUUUGAGAUAAUAAGGUAAAUCAUAGUAACUGAGUGAUAGUAUCUUCAACGCAUUCCUCAUUCUGUUGUUGUCUUCGAAUCCAGCACCAAGACUAAGGUACACCAUUUCCCAUUCAUCUAUUUUACUCCUGUCCCUCGUCGCAAGAACACCACUCAUAGCCUCAAUAGCAAGCGGCAGUCCUUCACAUCUUCCCAGAAUUCUUUCUGAAACGUUCUUCAAAUGUGCUGGGCAGUGGCUGUUUUGAAAUACCUUCUUGCAAAACAAAGUCCAAGACUCUUCUGGAGAUAAUGGAUCCAAACUGUACACUUUAUCUGGGAAUUCUAUGCAGGCAGUAAGGGCUACUUCAGUUUUUCGCGUUGUCAGCAAUAUAUGGCUACCACGACUGUUGUUUGGGAACACAGGUUCAAAAGCAUCCCAGGCAUCAGUAUGCCACACAUCAUCUAGCACAAUGAGAUACCUUUUUUGCUGAAGGAAUCUAUUGAUUACCGUCUUUAGCCUAUCGUUGUCCAUGUUGUCCACUCCUUGAGGAACAUUUUUCUGGAGCACACGGAAGAGCUGUUGAAUUAUAUCUUUUAGAAGGUCCUCUUCCUUGAAAGAUGGAGAGAGGGUGAUCCAAACCCUGAAUUGAAAGUGUUUCUUUACAUCUGCAUCAUGAUAUACUUUGCUCACCAAUGUGGUUUUACCCAAACCACCCAUUCCAACCACUGAGAUCACUUCACGUUCGGAUCUGCCUCUGACAAGCCACUCAAUAAGAUGCUUUUUGGGCUUUUCAAUGCCAACUAUAUUUGCUUCUUCAACUAUAUUCCCUGGCCUGGCCACCCUUGGUGUGUGGGUGGAGCUCGAGCUUGGCUCCAUUAUGUUGUUCCUGAUUAAAUAUCUCCGAUGUGCCUCUGAGAUAUUUAUAACUCGGCUUUUGAGUGCUUGGAUUUUUGAAGCAAUUUGAUGCCUAGCUUUUAAAGUGAUGAUGGAGUUGGAAAUUGUUUGAACAGAAGAACAGAACUUAACCCCAUGAUCAUGUGUGAGACGCAGCCUGAAAUGAUCAAGAGUAUCUUCCAUGUCAUACGCAACAUCUCUCACUUUCUGCACUAACACUUUAAGUCCAUCAUCUUUCUCUUCCAUCGCAUCUGCAGCUCUUAGAAAGACCAGCAUGAACUCUAGUUCAUCCCUGAUGUACUCAGCUUCUGCCUUAGCACCUGUCAACAGUCGCUCCUCUUCUCGGAUAAAAUCUGCGAGCUUACUGAGUAAGAAGGUCACCAAACCUUCUGUCAUUGUCAACCGGCUCUUUUCUUUCUGUUGUAACUUGAUGUUUGUUUUAACCACCGGAUUUAGUUCAAUGGUUACUGUCUCUUAUAAAGGAGAAGAUCCCGGGUUCAAAAGCGGAAUCAGGUGGGAUAGUAAAACGGCUUAACAAUGAGCCAAAGGACUCUAAAGUAUAAAUGAAAAAACUAAAUUUGAGUUAAGAUUUGCUUUGGAUACAAAAUAAAGAGAAUUUAUUUUUUCUGGUUGAAUGAGAAAAUAUUUUCCAUGCCUCUUUAUCAAAGUUAAGAGACGAUUGGGAGUUUUUCAGGGUUCAUUGUCUGCGGGAAGAGAGACACAAUGUGGUGGUAAGAAGGUUUGCUUUCAUGGUUUCAGGAUAAAUCUCAGGUUAGGAUAUUGCUGCUCUUGAGUGUAAAGCAUUCAAGAAUGGUGAUCGGAGAGGAGUUGAUUUGUGAUUCUAAAUGUUGCAGCUUGUAUUAUAUAUACAGUUUGAUCCAGCAGUGCUUGGUCAACUAGCCAUGCUUGGUAAAUAAUUGCUUUAAAGAUGUAUCCAAUGAUUUGUUUGCUUGAGAGCAUAGGUUAGUCCCAACCUCCAUCAGCAAGAAUAUUCUGCUAUUCUCGUUGACAUCAUUUACCACUUGCAGAUACCUUGUCCCUAAUCCUGUAACACAACGAUGCAAGUAGCAAGAUGCCCAUGUUCUGACCUUUCUUUCUUUCUUUUGCGUGUAUGCUUGUUAUGAUUUUUUUUUUAUUUCAACAAAUCACAAAGAAAUUCUAUAAAUUCCUCUCUUUACUAAAGAAAAUUGGGACUCAAACAAGUAGCGGGAAUCUUUCAAAUCCAAACCUUGCAUUCUCAGCAGAGCAAUUAUUUUACAAGGUGUUGUCUUUUGGAGUUUAAAUAAAUCAUCGAGGAAAGUUCAGACAGCUUUCCAUCACUUACAACCGCAGAUUGACGAUUUCAAGCUUCAGCACUGCUAUGGCCUGUCAUUGCCACUGCUACCAGAUUCAACCUUCAGCAUUGCAUGACAACUAGAAAAAGAUUCUUCUCCCAUCAUCACCAAUUCUGCUGAAUAUGAAAUAUCAACUACAAGCUCAUUACUUCUGACAUUACUGAUUCAACUGAUUAUGAAAUAUCAACCAGGAAAAAAUAAAUAGAUUGUAUUCUAUUAGAGGGUACAAAAAGACUGCUGGUUGACUUGUGAACAAAUAAUUAAUGUUGUUCUUUACUCCUGAAAUAGCUGGCAUGAUUAUUACAAUCACACGCGUUGUCAUAUUUAAUCUAUACAUGACAAUCAUUGAUCUUUUCAAGUUGAUCUUCCUUAACAUAAUAUGAUCCUUCUAAUCUUGUUAUUUUUCUUAUCGUUUUUAACAUCUUCCCUCAAGAUGGAGAGUGGAUAUCAACAACUCCCAACUUGCUUGUAUUUUGUCACAGAUAAAAUGACAUUUCACUUCUAUAUAUAUAUGCCUGGUUCUUUCAUGAAAAACACAAUUGGUUGCUAUAUAUAAGGCUGCUUUAUUACUGCAAUAUAACAAUGUGGGUUUUGAAUGCAAUAUUCACAAAUCUUUAAGCCAAGAUAAUUCACAAGAAGUACCUAUCAUGGCUCCAUAUUUGGCCUCUACUAAGGAUAAAGAUAUGGUUUUUUGCUCCUUAAUUUGUCCAUGAAAUAAGAUACAAUCCAAAAAAAGAAUAUCAUCAGCAUAUAUUAUUGAAGGCCGUAAAGGAUUUGCUUUUUCGACAUGUGAAAAAUAAGUAAUCUACUUUGGAUUGAACAAAUCUAGCAGCUUUUAUAGCUAUACAAAACUCGAAAAAAUAUUGACGGAAGAUUGUUUAAAACUAUAUAACGGCUUGUUGAGGUGACACACUAGAUUCUUCCCAUGUUAUUGAAGACCAAGAGGUGGAGAUAUAUAAAUUUCUUCAUGUAUAUCACCGUGAAGAAGAGAACUGUUUGUAAAGAUAACAUAAUUGAAUGAAAGUUUUAAGAAGAGAAAUGAAGAAUGCAGAGAGAGCGGAGCAGUUGACGAAAGAAGAUGAAUUUUAUUCAUUGUAUUUUCCUUGCAGUUGUUAUGUUAUUGGAGUUGUAUUUAUAGCUGAUCUAUAGACGUAAACUAGCUUCUUUCUUCAAUGAUUGACAGUUUUUCUAACCUUUUUUCUAACUGUUUCUAACUGCCUAACAGUAUUAACAUCUUUAACUGUCUAACAAAAUAUUAACCACUUCAUCACGUAAUCUCUUGACAUGUGGCAUCAUCUUGAUCGUUGAUAUCUUUACAUUCCCCAGCAAUCGUAUGCAUGGAAGAACCAAGCAUAAGAUUGGAGCAAUGGUGAUGAAACAAUAUAGAAGAAAGACCCUUAGUAAGGAUGUUAGCAAACUGAUCUGCAGAAGAAACAUGUUGAACAAUCAAGUCACCGUUGAUGACACGUUCUCUAACAAAGUGAUAAUCAAUCUGGAGAUGCUUCAUCCUGGAAUGAAACAUUGGAUUGGAAGCGAGAGAAAUAGUAGAGAUAUUAUCACAAUGAAUUAAAGGCGAAAUAAGCAAUGGAACAUGCAUAUCACAGAAGAGUUGACGAAUCCAUGUUAGCUCAGCAACAGCAAUAGCAAGAGCUAGAUAUUCAGCCUCAGUAGACGAGCGUGAGACAGUAUAUUGCUUCUUAGAAGCCCAUGAAAUAGGACUAGAUCCCAAGUAAACAACAAAACUAGAAACAAAACGACGAUCAUUGGGAUCACCAGCCCAAUCAGCAUCACUGUAUGCUUGCAAAUUAAGGGUUUCAGGCUGAAAAUGAAUGCCAUAAUCAAGAGUACCCCUAAGAUAUCUCAAGAUUCGUUUGACUGCAACAACAUGAGAUUCCAUGGGAUGAUGCAUGAAUUGGCAAGCUUGAUUUACAGAGAAGGCAAUGUCAGGACGUGUGAAGAUUAGAUACUGUAAAGCUCCAACAAUACUUCUAUACUGUUGUGGACGAGAAUAAGGCUUCCCAUCAUCCUUGAGCAGGUGAUGAUAGUGAAGACAAUGAGUGGCACAUGGCUUUGAAUUUUGUAAAUCAACCUGAUCAAGCAAUUCCUUGAUAUGGUUAGAUUGAGAGACAAACAAGCCAGAGGAAGAAUAAGAAACCUGCACUCCCAAGAAAUAUGUCAACGAGCCUAAAUCCUUCAUAUCAAAUUCCUGAGUUAAGGCAUCAAUGACUGAUGUAAGAAGAGAUGAAUGACUGCUUGUGAGAAGAAUAUCGUCGACAUAAAGCAAUAAUAUCGCAGUACCAUGAGAGGAAUAUAAGGACGAGGAAACUUGUAAACUGUCAUUCCAGGCACGAGGAGCCUGCCAUAUAAGGACUUGCAGAGUUUGUAAACAAAGUCAAGAUAAAGCUUGCUUGUAAAACCUUGUGGCUGAGCCAAAUACACCUCAUGAAGAAUUCCAUGUAGAAAUUCAUUUUUAACAUCAAGUUGCCUUAAAGGCCAAUGAAACUGAGCUGCAAGGGCCAACACCAGCUGAAUAGUAGUUGGUUUCACUACAGGACUAAAUGUUUUAUUAUAAUCAAUGCCCUUUUCCUGACUGAACCCUUGGCAACAAGGCGUGCCUUAUGCCUAGCAAUAGAGUCAUCUGUAUUUUUCUUGAUACUAUAAAUCCAUUUAUAGCCUACAAGAUUCUUGGCAUGUGGCAGGGGAACCAAAUCCCAGGUACCCUGGGCAUGGAGAGCAUUAAUUUCUUCUUGCAUAGCAGAAUGCUAGAUAGCAUUUUUUGAGGCAAUCUUGAAUGUGCUCGGUUCAACUGGAGAAAAAUCAUAAGAUUGAAUAGUAGUGGAAUAAGCUUUCCUUUUGGAGAUACCAUUCUUGGACCUAGUUGUUAUGGGAUGAAUAUUCAUAGGGGACAGAGGUAAGACAACACAAAGAUUCUCAGGAUGAAAAUCAAGAUCCUCAGGAGGAGAAAAUUAUGUAGUAGAAUCCAAUCCUGACAGAGGUGAAGAGAUGAUGGGAGAAGACAAUGUGUCCAAAGAGACAGCAGGGCUCAUGGUGGAUGAUGAAGUAGAGCACUCAAGCAAGACCACAUUGUGUAAUGAAAUAGAAGGUGGAACAAGAGGAGAUAAAUGAGAAGUAGAAGAAGAAGUUGUAGGCUAAGAGAUGUAUGGAAAUACAGACUCAUAAAAAAUAACAUGACGAGUCACAAAACAUUUAUGAUUUCGAAGAGAAAAACAGACAUAUCCCUUGUAUUGACCUACAUAUCCCAAAAAAAAUACAGGUGGAAGUUUUAGGUUGAAGUUUGUGAGUGUUGUAAGGCUUGAGGAGAGGAAAACAUACACAACUAAAGAUCUUUAAAUGAGUGAGGACAAGUAUAGAACCAUAUAGUAAAAGAUAAGGAGACUUCAGCUAAAGAAUUAGAUAAGGCAUCCGGUUAAUCAAAUAGAUGGAAGUAGCACAAGCAUAAAACCAAAAUUUAGAAGGGAGAUGAGCAAUUUGUAAUAAAGUGAUUGCUAUUUCUAGAAUGUGGUGAUGCUUCCUCUUAGUAAGACCAUUAUGUUCAGGGGUGUAUGGACAAGAUAUGUGAUGAACAAUGCCUUUAGUAAAGAGAUACUGCUUGAAGGAAUGAUUGAGGUACGCACCACCACCAUCACUCUGAAAAAUGCGGAGAUUAGCAGAGAACUGAGUGACCAAGAAAGCAUGAAAUGAAAUGAAGAUGGAAUAAACUUCUCCUUUAUUUCUCAUUGGAAAAAUCCAAGUGAACUAAGUACAUGCAUCAAUGAAGCUAACAUAGUAACGAAAACCAUCAAUGGAAAUAGUAGGAGAAGGACCCCAUACAUCACUAUGAAUGACUUCUAAAGGUGUUGCAGACUUGAUUGCUGGAUAAGGGAAAGGAAGUUUUGCAAAUUUUCCUUCUAAACAGGCAAUACAGAUGGAUUUAGAAUGGUCUGCAGUAAAAGGAAUCUUGGAUUGAUGUAAAAAGGCUGAAGUGAUUUUGUUAGAAGGAUGGCCAAACCGCUUGUGCCAGAGACUUGUGUUUACUUGAUGACCAAGAUAGUAGAAUUGAUUCUUUGAAAGGGAGAAGGACUGUGAUAGUCGAGAGUGUGGGAUGGAUAAAAGGAUAGGAUAUAAACCAUCUUUACACAAUCCCUGAAGAAGAACCCUCCCUGUAAGCUUAUCCUGAAUGCAAAAACCAAAGGCAUCACAAAUAAAACAGCAAUUUUUGUCUUUACAUAACCUACGAACUGAUAGCAAGUGUUGUGAUAGCUUAGGCACAUGCAGAACUUGUGGUAAUUGGAAUGGGCAUUGUGGAACAUUCAGAAUAGAAGAGCCAACAUUAGAAAUACUCAAAUCUGAACCAUCUGCAGUAGAAAUAGUGUCUGAUCCUGAGAAAGAAGUGGCUGAAUUGAGUUGAGCUAGAUCAGAAGUCAUAUGAGUAGUUACUUUAGUAUCAGCAACCCAAAAUUGCUUAGUAGAAUCAGAAGAAGGAAAAUUUGUAUGCAUUGCACUGAGAUUAAUGGACGGUGGUUUGCCUUGAUAAGAAAAAUAGCCUUUGUGAUAGCACUGGAUAGUCGAAUGGCCAAAUUUCCAACAAAUCUGACAUUGGACUGAAGAGGUAGAAGAAGGUGAUUGAUUAUGCCGUUGAUAGCAAUCAGCAGCUACAUGUCCUUUCUUAUUACAGAUUUGGUAGAUGGGAAUGAAAAUACCUGGACCAAGAAUACCAGGACUAGAAAAGGCACUUGAUGAGGUCAUGGACCAAUUUGAUAAUGGCCACGACUGCGACCACGUCCUUUAAAAUAAGAGCCUCUAUUGUUAGAGUGGCCAUUAAUGGUGAACAUGGUAUUUAGACCAUUAAAACCACCUGUAGAGCUAUGAAAACUUCCAUGAUGACCAUUAAAACCCCCAUUCAAUCCAGAAGACAGGUGAGAUGAUAGGAAGGUCUUCGAGUUUGAAGAGUAUCCCUGAGGUUGAAGGUAAGAAUGAGAAGGAGAAGAUUUUGCAUCAAGAACAAAAGUCUUGCCUUGAAAUGUUUGAUUUUGAACCAACAUUAUAGAAACAAAGGGAGAUGCAGAUUGAGUAUGCUCAAGAGUGGCUUCUUCAGCAAGUAAUUGAGAUCAAAAAUCUUUAAGAGAUAAAGUAGUAUCUCUGCCUCUAAUCAUACAUCUGAAAGUGUUUUAAUCAGACGGCAGGCCAUUGAGAGCCAAGAUCACAAUGUCAUCAUCCUAAAAAAAGACUCCUGCUGCAGAAAGAUGAUCUCUCGCAUCUUCAAUUUUUUGCAGAUAAUGAGAAACUUGUCUUGAUCCCUUCUUAAUAUUUUGAAGCUCACUUUUCAUCUGGAAAAUGCGUGCUUUGGUGACCGUAGAGAAUCAAUCCUUCAGCUGAAUCCACAUAUCAUUGGCACUUACACAUCCAAUAACAUAAUAAAGUGUAGUAGAGGAAAGAGUGGCAAUGAGAAACUGCAUUAAUGCUCGAUCAUGCAUUUUCCAUACCUGAUAUUCAUCAGAUUCGACUCCCUCAAGGUCAGAGUCUGCAUUAAAUCGGCUAAGACACUGCUUUGAACCAUCAACAAAACCUAAAACACCAUGGCUUUCAAGAAGGAUUUGCAUAUGAAAAUUCCAUGUGAGAUAAUUGGUAUCAUCAAGCUUAACUGCUACAGCAGUAGCAACUGUAGAAAGUAUGGAAGUUAUAGGAGAUUGGACGAUCUGGAGUUGAGAAGAUGUCACCAUUUUAUUUUAUUUUUUUGGAAUGCAGAAACAGAGAAGCAGCUGAGAAGAGUUUUUUGAUGAGAGAAGAGAAGAAAUGAAGUCAGUGUAAGAUGUGCGGAAGCAGAGGAUUAGGAACUAUGCUCUAAUACCAUGUAAAGAUAAUAGAAUUGAAUGAAAGUUUUAAGAAGAGAAAUGAAGAAUGCAGAUAGAGCAGAGCAGUUGACGAAAGAAGAUGAAUUUUAUUCACUGUAUUUUCCUUGCAGUUGUUAUAUUAUUGGAGCUGUAUUUAUAGCUGAUCUAUAGACGUAAACUAGCUUCUUUCUUCAAUGGUUGAUAGUUUUUCUAACUGUUUUUUUAACUAUUUCUAACUGCCUAACAAUAUUAACAUUUUUAACUGUCUAACAUAAUAAUGACCACUUCACCAUGUAAUCUCUUGACAUGUGGCACCAUCUUGAUCAUUGAUAUCUUUACACUGUUGACAUCAAGGUGGCGAAGGGACUAAUUAUGUGCAACUUCCAAAGCUAGUAGACACCAAAUUGGAGUGCUUCAUGAAAUCGAAUUGGAAUCUUUAUCCCUUUGAUGUUCUAAGAGUAUCAACGAAUUGUAUGGUAUGUCGACAUGUAUGUGAUUAAUUUGAUUGGCUAAUUGAGUGGUUCCUGAAAUCUAAAUGGCUCUAAAUCUAUCUCUCAUUGCAUCAUUUUGUUGUCUUCCAUCCUGUUGGGAAAUCCGACCGGUGAUGUACUGAUAAUUGCUCAACGGAGGGGAAGCACACUAAGACACAGUAUUUAACGUGGUUUGGCCAAACCGCCUACAUCCACGAGAGAGUCAAUAUUAUUUAGAGAUAGAGAAAGAUUUACAACACACAUGGAGGAGGAGGAUCACUACACUCUACUCUACUCCCAGCACUCAUUGCUGCAAUGGCAGCAGGGUUGCUGCCCAUGACAACAGCUCCUCUUUCUCUCUUCCUCUAUAUUGCACUCACAUGCUUUCUCACAACUCUCUCAUUUUGCUCUCUAAAAUCAUGCCUCUUUUAUGGGCAUCAAUGGUAGCUUCUCUUACUCUUUUGUCAAUAAUGGUGGCUGUCAAAGUCAAGGUUGGUGGCUGUCACCAACAAGCCACCAUUGUAGCCUCCUCCUUUGACUCUCACAUGGCAGCCAUCUUCUUUGAUAAUGGCAGCCACAUAAAUGGCAAUAUUCCAACAAUCACCCCCUUUGCCAUUUAUAUGGGGCAACUGUCCUCUUGCUUCUUCAGCACAAGCUUGCAUCUUGCAGCUAUUCCAAGCUUACCAUUCCGAGAGCGUCUGUGGCCAAGUUUAUAGGUACUCGCCAAACCUGUCAAUCACCAGAGUUACCAAAGCACACCCUUGCUCACACCAAAGGAUCACUACAACCAGAUGGUCUGCCACAUCACAUCUGAAGAGUGUUAAUGCUUGUCUCUGGGACACAACAUUCCCCUUUGAGCUUAUCAACCGUGCUCGGUCCGGAAUGAUUUAUCAAGCCUCAUACCAAGGCUUACAACACCCCCUCAAAUGGAAAUUUCCAUUUCCAAGUGCGACAGUCAUUAUCCAAGUAUCUCAAUAUGAUCACGAGCUCACCACUCUUCCAAGAGUCUACUCAUCUAGGAGUUGCGUAUGCCCUCUAUUCCACCCUAGGCCUUACUUCUCUGUGAGUCUCUCGCUCUUAGUCUCAAGAGUCCACGUAGCUCUCCACCUUUACCUAUGGGGCCAGCCCAUUAAAGGUUGAUCCAUAUAUGUCUUGAUACUGUGAGUAUUACAAUGCCUUCACCGAGCUCAUCACCUUGACAAGAGUCAACUUGUUCCCGGAACCUGCGCAUGCCCACUGCUCCUUCAUAGCAGUCGCGUCUUAAUGCUCCACAAGUCAUCCACUUAUUGUCCAAGGCAAAUGUCUUCUAGCUCAUUGAUCUUUAGCAUGGGGGCAAUAUCCAUGAAAGUCAAUCCUGCAUUUGUCUUCAUACUCAUCAUAGCCACUUCAUUGGCUAUACACCUGUCCACUCAUAUCUAGCCAUCACAUUGGCUCUAGGGCGUUCUGAAUUGAGGUGUCUCCGCUCGUCGUCAUGUAGCAGUCUGAAAUGGGGCUCCUAUCACGGCCCUCACACCUUCUCUAAGGUGUCUUCACCUGUUGUCAUGGGUGGUCUGAACUGGGGCUCCUAUCAUGGCCCACACACCUUCCAUCUGAGGUGUCUUCGCCCGUUGUCAUGGGCGGUCUGAACUGGGGCUCGGCUCCUGGCCCUCACACCAUCCGAGGUGUCUCCGCUCGUCGUGGAGCGAUCUCAUCCUCCUUUAUCUGGGAUGCUUCAAAGUGGCUCCAAAGUUCUCUACCACUAUAUGGACUUGGGAGAGAUUAUUACCACUAACUAUAUAGAAAGAGAAACUUGCGGUAUACUCCUCGCAAUCCUUCACCUCGAUUUCUAUGUUUGGAGCUUUUACGCCUUUCAUCAUUGCGCUUAACAGCUCCACCUACACCAACUCUCUUUGGUGUCUUCGCCUUUCAUCAUAGGCGGUCGCCUUUUAUCACAGGCGUUUGCACACCCUCAAUUAGGUGCCUCUACAACAGCUCAUCUUUCCAUCCUUGCAUGCAUUGGAAAGGUCCUCGCGUGUUGUCUUCAUCAAGAGCACAAGAGACUUCCUGUUGUACAAGUCUCUGCUCUGAGCUUCAUCUGGGAACUCUUCUUCUCCUUGCACCUGUUGUCUCAAUACAGUACCUCGUUAGGAUCCUACGGGUACUCCUGCACAAUCUUCGUGUGCCCUCGUGCAAUAUCUGUUCUCCAGAUUUCUCCCUAUUCCUUGCUUAUGUUUGACAGCAGCUCAUCCUGCCACAACAUUUAUCCAAGUCAAAAUAAGGUGCCAAUCUUUAUCCCCUUGCUGUAUUUCUCUUCCAUUAUCAGGGUCUUCAACAAUUCUCCCAUCGAGAAAUCACAGUCACCGAAUCUAGCUUCUUCGGAGAAAUCACCACUCCAUCAGAUCCUUGAUCAUACGAAACCCAAAUGUUCCCCUUGUGCCGGCAUCCUGCUAGUCUUCAACAGUUUCAUUACAAACUGUUACAUAUACGAAAAUAGUACCGUAUGGAUAAUCCUUCCACUAAGCAAGUUCCCAGGAAAGAUUGGAGGGGUCACAACGGUCCCGCUUAAAACCAUUCUAUCCAUCGUACUGUCUUUCCGUAUAUACAACCAUUUGCUAGCUUUGUUGCGGCUUUCCUUUACAAGUGAUCUGGAAUAUACAGUUUAAUACAUGAUUUCUCAACAUCUAGCGAGACUACUAGUGCUUAGAUUCGUCAAGAUUGGUCUUCAUCAGUUUUCACUCUCCACCUCAAAUUGUCCACAUAACCGGGUGUCCAGAGUGUCCUAAUUUUGCCUUCCUUCAAGGCAUUACAUUUUCAUUUAACAGUUCAGCACAUGUAAUUGGGAAACAUGUGCACCUUCUUCUUCUUCAUCUCCAUCGACCUCCAUCAAGACCCUCAGAUGUCUCUUGAUUAGGCAAUCUCUCUUUAAUAAUUCACCACCGCCAUUUUUGGUCUCGAAUCUCAAUGAUCGGACCGUACCAUUGCAUCCAGAAUGAUCAAAUUAGCUGGAAACAAGUCUGAAAUAGUCCAAAUCACAUUUCAGACGGCUAAGAUUUGAUCAAAACAAUUCUAGCCUGAUCAACGGCUCAGAUUCAAUCUCAGAUCUAGUUGCACGUAGACUGCGCUACACAGAAUCAUAUCCCUCGGCUCGACUCCACUCGGCUCGAGGCUGAUGACGUGGCAGAUGGGUUCCACUUAUACUGACGUGGCUCUAACAUGUGAUGACAUGGCAUGCUGAUUAUGCAUGAUGACGUCAUCAUUGCUUCAUGUUGAUGUCAUCCUGGGCCAUGCUACUAUGCUGAUGACGUCAUAAUUAUGUCAUGUUGAUGUCAUCCUUAUCUGGGUCAGCCACGUGGGUCGGGUCGUCUGGUAUUCGGGUCGGGUCAGCCCAUUCGGGCGAAGAAGAUGGUGUGACGCGUGGCACGCGUCUGCCCGCGUGGCCAGCCACCCCGCCGGCCACGUUCGAUUUUGAUGCGGUUUUCAACAGUGGCUUCGUCUCUUCCUCCUUUACAGGGUGGUAUGGUCAAAACACAAUUUUGACAACUUUCAUUUUUGAGCAAAGAUCAAACACCACUUCAAACUAUAUGCUCUGAUACCAAUUGUUGGGAAAUCCGACCGGUAAUGUACUGAUAAUUGCUCAACGGAGGGGAAGCACACUGAGACACAAUAUUUAACGUGGUUCGGCCAAACUGCCUACAUCCACGGGAGAGUCAAUAUUAUUUAGAGAUAGAGAAAGAUUUACAACACACAUGGAGGAGGAGGAUCACUUCACUCUACUCUACUCCCAGCACUCAUUGCUGCAAUGGCAGCAGCUCCUCUUUCUCUCUUCCUCUCUAUUGCACUCACAUGCUCUCUCACAACUCUCUCAUUUUUCUCUCUAAAAGCAUGCCUCUUUUAUAGGCAUCAAUGGUAGCUUCUCUUACUCUUUUGUCAACAAUGGUGGCUGCUAAAUUCACCUCUUCUUCAACAAUGGUGGCUUUCAAAGUCAAGGUUGGUGGUUGUCACCAACAAGCCACCAUUGUAGCCUCCUCAUUUGACUCUCACAUGGCAGCCAUCUUCUUUGACAAUGGCAGCCACAUAAAUGGCAAUAUUCCAACACAUCCAAACUACAAGCGAAGGGCCGUAGAAGAAGACUUUGAAAUGGUCAAUGAAAAUGAAGGUCAACUAAGCAGGUGAACACCCAAGUCUUUCUACAACCCCCCUUCUUUCAAUGAAAUUACAACACCCAAGUCUUUCUACAAGCAAAGGGCUUGUACAAAUCUUGAUUUAAUGGUAGUUUCUUAGAAAUGAGCUCCUUCCUUUUUCUUUUUUUCUUGGCUUUUAAGAAAUCAUCAUUUGGCUGUAAUGAUAGUAGCAAUGUUGUAGUGAGUAACGAUGAUAAGGGAUAGAAUUGCAAAUAGAAUACCAUCCACGUACCUUUUUAUGAACUAGAUGAUGAAGGUGACAAAUGAUCGGGAAACAUCACUCGGUUGCAGACAUAGUCACGCAAAUAUAUAUAUAUGAGAGGAAUAUGUGGUCGUGGAGGAUGAUGUUGAAGGAGUAUGUAGCUAGGUUCAACAUGGCUCAAAGCAGAAAGCGGAUCUGAAUAUGAAACAUAUUGGCCUAAGUACUCUAGUACUGCUAUUGGAGGCACCAAUUCAGAUGGUUGUGUUUGUUGGACGUUUGAAAAUGGGCAUUAAAGGCAUAGUUUUGAAACCCGAUCUAGCCCGGCAGGUCGCCCCGAGACCCAGCUGACCCCAGGCUGAAACCGGGUCGGGUUUAAGCAAAAUUAGAGGAAGUCAAAACCCAGGAUGACCCGGUAACCCAGCUGACCCGACAAGACCCGGUCAAAAACCCGAUUGCAACUCGUUGAUUUUUAUUUUUUUACUAAAACGAUAUCGUUUUGAUUUUUUAAAAAAAUCAGGAUUGAUCCUAGCGACCCGGUCAAAACCCGUAAGCCGCGCCCUGGGCCAGGUCGACCACCGGGCCGGGUUUAAAAACUUUGAUUAAAGGAAUAGACUUCAUAAGGAAUAUUAUCUUCAUGAAAAAUAACAAUAUUAUUAUUAUUAUUAUUAUUAUUAUUAUUAUUAUUAUUAUUAUUAUGAGAUCAACCUUUUUCUUUACCGUUCACUCUCUUACAAAAACAUUGUGCAUUGAAGCAAUGUUUUUUUUUUUUUUAAUUUGGUCCUCAAAUUUUUAUUUUGCGUGAUUUAGCUAUUUGAGCCCAAAUUAGCCCCUAAUUGCAUAUUUUUUAAAGAAGAAGGUUGAAUUCAAAGACACGGAGAUGUAGUAGAAAUUAAGGGUAUUUGUUGUGGAAAUUUAUUUUCAUCCCUCAUCUUUUUAAAAUAUUAGGUUACCGAUCCUUGUAAUUUUCAAACAUUCCAUUUUGGUAAAAAAAAAAAUAUUUUUUCAUUAUUUUCCAGACCUUUUUAUGUUAGAGGAGAGACAGGGAGUCGUCGAAUUCCUGCGUGGAGAGAGAAAGUUAUCAUUGGUUACUAUUUUGGCCACUAAAAUAGUCAUUCUUUGUAUCCUAUGGUUCCAUAUGAAGAGGGGAUUACGAUUAAGUGUUCUUUUUUUUUACCUUGAAAUUACUUAAAAAAAGAUUUGGGCUAGGGAAGAUUUUUGGGUUUUAGGUUGAUUGAGGGUUUUGGACUGGGUUUUUGUGGUUUUAGAGGCUAUGGAUUAGUUUAACAUGGUUCUUGGGGUAUUUUCUAGGUGUUUUGAGUAAAAAAUAGGUUGAAAAUAAGUUUUUGGGUAAAAAACAAAAGCCUUUUUUUUCCUGGGGUUCGUGGACGAUACAUUUUUUUUUUGGAAAAUGUUUGGGGUGGAUGACGCGUCCUCGGCCCCAUUAAACUUAAAAAAAUAAAAGGUCCGUGUGUGCAGGCCAUAGCUUUAUGGGCCCAGUGCUAGACCUGACCUAAUUCUUUUCUUAAAAAAAAAGAUGUUUUUUUUAAUUGAUGCCUUAUUUUACAUGAAUUUUUAAAAAUAAGUUUUUGGUAUAUAAUUUAAUUAAUAUCCAUUUUUUGUGAUUUUUUCUGCUUAUUUAGCCUUUUUUUGGAUUGUGAUUUUUUUUUAAUGAUAGUGGACGUGUUUAAUUUUUAAAGAGGUUGGUAUGAUUCAUAUGUAAGUUUAAAAAAAAAAAAAUUAUAUAGAUUGAAUUUUUUAAAAACAAUAAUUGAUUUUCUUAUAAUAUUUUUAAUACGUGCAACCUUAUAUAAUAUUUUUUUUCUUUUAUUUUAUUCAUGCAAUCUGAAAAGUUAACAAGGAUUGAAAUCUUUUUUUAUCUUUUUUUUUUCUAAUUUCAUUAUUUGACAUUCUGUUUUAGUUUUUUUUUUUGUGGUUACCUCAUAUUUUUAUUAUAUUAUUAAAUUAAUAAAUAUUUAACCCAAUUAUCAAAUUUAUUUUACAUGUAUAAGUAUAAAUCUUUAUAUAUAAAGAAGUAAAAAAUAAAGUAAAACUAUAUCUAGGGUCCUUUACAAAAUAAUUUUAACUUAAUACUUUGUUGAAUUUUAUGUAAUUUUAUCAUUGUUAGAUUAUAAUUAUACUUGUGGUGAGUAGAGAUAAAAAUAUAUAUAUAUAUAUAUAUGGACAUGAAUACAAAUUUUAUGAAUUUUUGUUUAAAGAAAUGUUUUUAAUAUUACAUGACACGACCAAAAGAUUGAUGUCUUCUCCCAAGUGCAGGAGUGUCAAAGUAAUAAAUAACCCGGCAAGACCGGGGUCGAACCACAAAGAGGUUAAUUGUAUAAAUUAUAAAUAACAACAAAAUAACAACAAUAAUAAUAACAAUAACAUUAAUAGUAAUAAUAAUAAUAAUAAUAAUACUCAGUACGUGGCGUUGUUAUACCUGAGAAUGAUCUAAAAGAUCGGGUCACAGGUUUCCAGCCUAUAUACUGAGUUUAUGGAAAGAUCAAAGAGAUAUAUUAUAUAAUAUAAACAGAUUUCUGAUACGAAUGAACAAGGCAAGACCAACAAUGUCAGGAUCCUUGAUCAAACACAAAGCAUACUUAACAUACAUAAAAUAUAACAAGAAUGUAAAUAAUAAUAAUAAUAAUAGUAAUAAUAUUAGUAGUAGUAAUAAUAAUAACAAUAAAAAGAAGAGGAGGAAGAAAUUAAUGAGAACUUUGAGAUGGAAGAUUAAUGUAAGGAUUAAACAAUGAUAAAAAUAAAUGUCAAGGUUAGAUGAUCCACCAAUGGUAUUUCAAACAAGUAUAGUAUAAACUCUUAUUACUCAAUUUGGAAACCACACACGAAGGAGGUUCCAUCGGAUGAUUUGUCAUUAAUAGCUCAUUAAAAUUAUAACAUGAUCAUAUUAAUUAUCUUAUUUACAUAACACCAAACUUUUAAAUAGUCAGGAAUUCAUGAUGUUAACUUGAUGUUAACAACAAAUCAAGUACCUUUCAUAGCCAGGUGUAGGUAAUACCAUACGGUUGGGCUAUGAGAGUGCCAAGCAUUUGUUGUACCAAGUAUUAUACAACACAAAUUUAGAUUAACCAUUUAACAAGCAAGGUAUUAAGAAUUAGUAAGAUAAAAAGAUAAGACAUGUUAAUAUUAAAUUAAGGUCAUAUUGAGUUUAUACCAUACUUGUUCUUACACCAUUAGUGUAACCUUUUCACCUUGACAUAAUAAACUUAGCUAAACAUAAUGAAGAAGAGAAACAUAAAUAAACAAAACAAGAACAUAAAUAAAAUACAAGUUAACUAAGGAAAGGAAAGGAAAUGAAAAGCAUAAACAAGAAAUUAAUGAAAGCAAAACUUAAGAAUUACAAAAAUAUAAAGAGAGAAAUAAAGAGCAUGAACUUGAUCUGAACAACCAAGCCCCUAAAUACAUGGCAAAUGCCUCCUUUUAUAGGCCAAAAUUCGGAAUUAUUGUUGAUGACUAAUUGUUGAGUGGGUGGCCAACUUUUGACUUAGUGAAAAUCCUUAUCUUGUCUAAAUAAAACAAAAUGCUAGCAUCAGAACUGGGUCCAGAUGUCCAAAUGAAAGUUCUAGGAAAUUCUCUUAGCUUUCCAGAAAAAAAAGAUGAGGUCAUUUGGACUUCUAGAACUCAAGAUAUGGGCUGAACACUAAAUAGUGUUGGGCUGCAGGACAGAUUCGGACUUCUCCGUUGUUGCUAUAAUUUGGACUUGAAAACGGCCUUCUUAGAUCUUGAUGUCCAAAUGAAAGUUGUAGGCCUAUGUCUUAUCAAAUCUCUAAAAUUUCAGAUCAUUUGGAUAUCUAGAACUCGAGAUAUGACCCAAUUACCGAACAGUGUUCCAGUUUGGACUGCACCACAUCUCUUUUCUAAGCUUCACCCUUCUUUAUCUUCAAAAUUUCAGUAGUUGAAUUCAUCAAUCAAUCCUUUGAUUUAUGUGAUAUGCCUGCAUUUAAGAUGAACAUUUACCAUAUAUUAGGUAUUUAUAUAUUAGACUUGUUAUUAUAAAACAUGCUUUAGUUAAGGAGUUAUUGAUACUUUAAGUGCAAAAUGAUGAUAUAAAACCUUGAUAAACAUGCACUUUUAAGUACUAAUCACACCCCCCAACCAGCUUAUUACUAGUCCCUAGUAAUCAAAGCGUUAAAAUAGAAAAACAAUUUGCAAGUUCCAACAAAGCAAGGCAUUCAUCAUUCAACUUCCAUUAAUCUAUCCAGAUAAACAAACUCUCAUUUCUGCUUCAUAUUUCUUAAACAAGAUAUUAAUAAACCUUCUUUUUAUGUGCUCAAUGUAUGAAAACAUAUAUGAUGGGGCUUUGUUGGAAGAAAACAAUAUUAUGUUCUAAUGUUUAAGGUUAACUUCCUUGGGUUGGGAUUAUUUUUCUUUUUUUUCUUUUUUUUAUUACACAUACAACUUAAAACACAAUGCAUCUUUAACCCAUGUAACGAGCUUUAGGCUAAUGACUCCCAGACCAGUUGGUCUUAGGGCAUUAGGUGUUGAGACACCCUACGAGCUUAGCAACUCGGGUUGCAGAUACUGAUACGUAGAUAGUGCAAUGUUUGAUUCCCUUAAGCUUUUCUCCUUAACCCAUGUAACAAGCUUUGGGCCAAUAGCUCCCAAGUCAGUUGACUUUAGGGUAUUAAGUGUUAAAACACCCCUUCGGGCUUAAUUGCUUAGGUUAGGGAGGCUACGAAACCAAACUUAUCUCCAUUUUAUUCAUCAUAUUAUACUUUUUUUUUUUUUUUUUUUUUUUUUUUUUGCAAAUUAUGUACUAUCCCUUUCCCUUAGUUGUUACCUUUAACAAAAGAACAUAAAUAAUGUAAUAAUCCAAUGUGCAACCCACAAUCAUAUGUUAAAGUGUGUGUGUGAAAAUGAAGAUUUAAGAAUACUUGUUAAAUGAGCAUAUGAGCAGAAUCAAGUGAUAACAAUAUGAGAGUUUGUAAACCUGAUAUUUCAAGAAGUAUUAUGAUAGACCUUGUUAAGAAUGUUUACUAAGAUGCGUCUCAAGAGUCACUUUAACAAAAAAACUCCUUUUACUCUGCCAUCCUAGAACAACAGUUUUGCAAAUAGUUUAUGAAAUAGAAAACACAGUUUUUUUUUUUUUUUUAACUACUACCCUUUCCCCCCAACCAAAAUGAGACAUUGUCCUCAAUGUUAAGGUAGAAAGAUAGAGUAUAGAAGACAUCACCUGAAAUAACGAACACUGACAAACCUGAAACACACUUAAACAAAUAGAAGAAACAACAAAACACAAUAAUAAAACCAAAAGACACAAAGUUUUUACAAAUGAAGGCUCAAAUCCAAUCUAAGCUUUUUACGGCUUUCCUUAGUUGACCAAUUUAUGCGACUCAUGAGGGAUUAAUUACAGGGAUGAAAGAUUGUAGUUGGUCAAUCAAUUGUUCAGCAGUAGCAGAGAUUAUGAUUUGUCGUGCUGAAGAUGUUAGAAAUUCCUGUUCCACAGCAUGAUCAAGAAAGACAACAACUUAUCAUAAAAACCAUUAACAUUUAACAAACCUAUGGGUUUAUGGUGAAUGUGCAGUUGGGCCCAAGAGGAAAUAUGAAAGAUCUCUUCCAAUGUGCCCAGACCACCUGGUAAGGCAAUGAAGGCAUCAGCAUGGUUAAACAUGGCAUUCAGUCGAUCAGACAUUGUGGGACCUGUAAUUCCUCUCCAAUUGUUUUUCCAAUGAUGUCCCCUUGUGCUAAAGCUUUGGGGACAACCCCCAAAACUUGACUACCUCCUAAAAAUGCAGCUAUUGACACUCCCCCAUUAACCCAAGGCUACCUCCCCAUACACUAAAUGAAUCUUUCGCUCAGCUAGUACCUGACCAAGAUGAUUUGCUGAUUCUAAAAACUCUUUUUCUUUCCCGGACUGGAUCCACCAAAAACACAAAUUUGUUUAUGUGAUGACUUGAGGAACCUGCCAUUUCUACACACUUCUUAUUUGAUGAAUGUAUGGGUUGAGUAGAAAUGAAGGGAAGGAAGAGAAGAAUUUAUAGAUGAGAAAUUGAAAAUGCAAUCAUACCACCUAUAUGUAGGCCAGCUGUAGUCUCACACACACACACUCUCUCUCUCUUUAUUAAUUAUUUAUUUUGAAAAAGCAUAUGUAUGUACAGGUAGUUGUGAUUGUGGCUCACAUCUUCCCUUGGUUUUACGUCCAAGAACGGCUUAAACGCCCUCUAUGGGUCGGGGAUAGGCUUCCCAUCCAGUUUUCUUAAAAACUGGCAAACAGGGUCUUUUUUAGUCAGAUUCCCAAGACUAAGUCGAGCAUGUUCUUUAUGGAAUUGGGCCAUAAAUCAUGAAUUGCACGAUGCACAUCUCCACUAGGGUGCGUCUCAAGAGUCAAUAGAAGAUUAUCUAAAGACCCCUUACUCAGGCCAUCCUUAAUGAAUUGUAUUUAUCUUCACGGUUUACAGAUACCAUUCCUAAAGAACGACAUGUCGCAUUACAAGUCCAUCUGGCACAUCGUGACAGACUUUCAGUCGUUUUGCACGACGUUUCUUUGCAAAAGUGCUUUUACCUGUUCCAGGCAUGUAUGAAAUGAAAGAAUUGGAGGACUCACCUGAUAAUCGGACCUUUGCUUCAAUCAGCCAGCGAAUAUCUUCAGGAAUUCCAUGUUCAUUAACAACCUCAAUCUUGCACAUCUAGCACGGUAAAUUUUUGUAAUCGCAUUUGAGGCAGAGCGGGAAAAUACUUUUUCAAUUUUUCAAGAGUGGUGUCCAUUUUCAACUGAGAAUUGGGGAGAGAUUCAAAGAAGGAGAAAGAGCAAGAAUUGCAAAUAUAUACAGAUAUCAGUUUCAUGGGAAACUGAAAGAACCGACUUAAAGUCACGGAGUACCGUUAUCCGCCAUUUGACCGGGGUGAGAGACUAGCAAAACAAAAGUCACACAAAACAAUGUGAGAAAAAGAAUCAAUCUUUAUAUACAGGAUCACCAAUUCAAUAGAGUCAUUUUCAACUGAAAAAUUGUCAAAAUAAACUUUCAAACGAUGCCCAUUUACCUUGAAAACAUUACCAUUCUUUGGAUUUCGAUAUCACAGGCCCCAUAUGGAUACACAUGUUUCACAAUAAAAGGACCGCUCCAUCUUGAUCUUAGUUUUCCAGGAAAUAAAUGGAGUCGAGAAUUAUAAAGCAAGACUUUUUGACCAACAUUGAAUGUUUUUCUCAGUAUUUUCUUGUCAUGAAACUCUUUGAUUCUUGCUUUAUGAAUUCUUGAAUUGUCAUAUGCAUCAUUUCUUAUUUCCUCAAGCUCAUUUAUUUGCAAUUUUCGCAGCUGACUAGCAUCAUCAAUGUUUGAAUUGAAAGCUUUAAUAGCCCAAUAAGCUUUAUGUUCAAUUUCCACAGGCAAGUGACAAGGUUUUCCAUAGACUAGUCUAUAAGGUGACAUACCUAAUGAUGUUUUAUAGCAGUUCGAUAAGCCCAAAGUGCAUCAUUAAGUCUUAAAGACCAGUCUUUCGAUUAGGGUUCACUGUUUUCUCCAAGAUCUGUUUGAUCUCCCUAUUAGCAAGUUCUACUGUCCACUCGUCUGAGGGUGAUAAGGGGUGGCAACUUUGUGUGAUUCCAUAUUUCUUCAUUAAAGACUCAAAUGGCUUGUUGCAAAAUGUGUUCCACCAUCACUUAUCAUGGCUCGAGGGAUUCCAAAUCGACUUAAAAUGUUUUCUUUCAAAAACUUUAUCACUGUUUUGUGAUCAUUGGUUCGACUUGGAAUUGCCUCUAUCCAUUUUGAAACAUAAUCUACAGCGACCAAUAUGUAUAAGAAACCAAAUGAUGGAGGAAAUAGACCCAUAAAAUCUAUACACCAACAAUCAAAGAUCUCAAUGACAAGAAUAGGAUUUAAAGGCAUCAUAUGACGUUUCAAAAUAGAUCCUAACUUUUGACAAUUUUCACAAGUCUUGCAGAAUGCAUGUGAGUCUUUGAACAUGGUGGGCCAGUAAAAUCCACUUUGUAAGAUUUUUGCAGUUGUCUUUCUUGAUGAGAAAUGACCCCCACAUGCCUCAGAAUGACAAAAUUUAAUGACACUACUUACCUCAUUGUCAGGAAUGCAUCUUCGAAAUAUUUGAUCAGGACAAUAUUUGAAUAAAUAAGGGUCAUCCCAAUAAAAGUUCUUCACUUCGUUCAAGAACUUUCUUUUGUCUUGGGUACUCCAAUGAGCUGGCAAUUGUCCUGAAACAAGAAAAUUAACAAUAUUAGCAAACCAAGGCAUCGUAGAGACAGAAAAUAAAGAUUCAUCAGGAAAGUAGUCAUCGAUUGGUGUGAUGUCAGAUCUCGAAUCGGUUGUCAAUCUUGACAAAUGAUCCGCGACAACAUUUUCGGUGCCUUUCUUGUCUUUGAUUGUGAUAUCAAAUUCUUGAAGUAACAAAAUCCACCGCACCAAUCUAGCCUUAGAAUCUUUCUUAGAGAGAAGAUAUUUCAAUGCUGCAUGAUCACUAAAAACAACAACAGGUGAGCCAACAAGAUAAGAUCUGAACUUGUCACAUGCAAAUACUACUGCAAGUAAUUCUUUUUCAGUGGUAGUGUAAUUCAUUUGAGCACUAUUUAAAGUUUUACUUGCAUAGUAAAUCACAUAAGGUUUCUUAUCUUUUCUUUGUCCCAAGACAGCACCCACGGCAUAAUCACUAGCGUCACACAUUAUUUCAAAAGGUAAUGACCAAUCAGGAGGUUGAAUGACAGGAGCAGAAGUAAGCAACUUUUAAGUUUAACAAAGGCUUUUCACAUUGUUCAGUCCAUUCAAAAAUAUUUCCUUUGUUAGAAGGUUACACAAUGGUUUAGAUAUUACACUAAAAUCUUUGAUGAACCUUCUGUAAAAACCAGCAUGUCCUAAGAAUGAUCUAACAUCUUUAACGAUUUUGGUGUUGGUAAGUUGGCAAUUAACUCGAUUUUAGAUUUUCAACCUCAAUUCCUUUCGAUGAAACAAUGUGACCAAGUACAAUGCCGUUUGUUACCAUAAAGUGACAUUUUUCCCAAUUCAGUACAAGAUUCUUCUCUUCACACCUGUUCAAAACCUUUUCCAAGUUAGUUAAACAAUCAUCAAAUGAAUCACCAAAAACAGAAAAAUCAUCCAUAAAAAUCUCAAGAAAACGUUCAACCAUAUCACUGAAUAUGCUAAGCAUACAUCUUUGAAACGUGGCUGGUGCAUUACAUAAUCCAAAAGGCAUUCUUCGAUAUGCAAAAGUACCAAAUGGACAUGUGAAAGUAGUCUUCUCUUGAUCUUCCAAUGCAAUUUCAAUUUGAUUGUAACCUGAAUAGCCAUCUAGGAAACAAUAAAAUUCAUGACCUGCAACUCUUUUUAGGAUUUGAUCCAUGAAAGGCAAAGGAAAAUGAUCUUUCCUAGUCAUUGAAUUAAGUUUCCUAUAGUCAAUGCACAUGCGCCAACCAAUAAUAGUUCUAGUUGGAAUUAACUCAUUUUAGACAUUUGUUAUCACAAUGACUCCAAUCUUCUUAGGUAUAACUUGGGUAUGGCUUACCCAUUUGUUGUCAGAAAUAGGAUAAAUAAUUUCAUUAUCUAGAAGCUUAAUGACUUCAUUUUUCACUACUUCUUUCAUAUAAGGAUUAAGUCUUCGUUGCAUUUCUCUAGAUGGUUUAGCAUUUUCCUCCAAAUAAAUCCUGUGUGUGCAAAUCAAAGGACUAAUUCCUUUUAUGUCAGCUAUGGUCCAUCCUAAUGCAUUUUUGUGCAUUUUCAAAGUCUGUAAUAACUUACCUUCUUGAUGUGCAUUAAGUUUGGAAGAGAUUAUUACCGGAAAAGUUUCAUUUUCUCCUAAAAAUGAGUAUUUGAGAUUGACUGGUAACGGCUUCAAAUCAGGUUUUGGUGGUUGAACACUUGAAGGUAUGGACUCAAUUGAUCGUGGUGGCAAUUCUUUAAUUUGUGGUCUCCAAUUACAUGCCUUUGCUUCUUCCUGAAAAUAAACCAUUUGCAACUCGUCAGGUUCAUCAAUCUUUUUUUUUUUUUGAUCAAAUGUAAGUAUUGUAUAGAUCAAAAAGGAGCUGGAGACCAGCAAUACAAAGAAAAGGGGACAGAGUCCCUUGACUAAAACAGGACCUGACAAAACAAGCUUGCCGAGCAAAAGAAAAAGGAAACAGACUCCCUUGAACAAACCAUAAACAAGACCAGCUUGUUUAAAAGCAAAGGGAACAGACUCCCUUGAACAAGCAUGAAAACCAUAUGAUAAAUACAUACAACCAAACAGCAUCUCUAGGACCAACCAAUAGAAAUACAGCACUACAGGAAUCAUCAUCACGAGAAUAACCCCAUGAAGAAACCAAGCAGGACAUGAAGAGACCAGCCGUGCAGCUCCGCAAGCCAGCUCCCAUCAGAGAUUGGAAUAAUGGAAGCCUAACACAGCCGAGACAGCCCAAAAGAAGCAACCAACAGAUCAUGCCGCGUGGAAGCAACAACAACAAACAGGGGCCGACACUCACCAUAAUAGCAGGCCUAACAAAUUAAUAUUUUAGCAACAAUGGACAUUAGCCAGCAGAUCACAAUCAGAGAACGAAUAAAGGAGAGCCCUUUCAUCAUCACAGCCAAGAAAGCAGAGCCCUUUCAUCAUAACAAAGGAAGCCAAUCAGAAUCUCCCACCCAUCCAGAUUAAAGGAAGAACCAUGCGGAGGCUAAAAGGCUAACAGCCAAUAACGGGCAGCUAUGUGUAACUCCAGCAUGGGGGGAGAAGAAGAAGGACCCCAUCAUCAAAAGUUUCACGUGAGGCCGAAAGCAUGAGCCAUGCAUUCACGUUGCAAACUCUGAAGGAGAGGGCCAUGACUAUAUAAUUCCAGCAGCCACCCGAGGACAACGCUUGGACAAGAAAAAUCCCACUUGCAUGAACCAUGCACACACGAGAUGCACCCACUUCAUAUAUCUGCCAAAGAAGAGCUCACUUGGACCCACCCAUGAAUUACCCAUGCAGCAGCUUACGUCCAAACCAGCCACAAGAACGAGCGGUCAGUCUUGAAUCAGUGUUCAUCUUCGACAUGUAUGCGCAGCAGUUCCCAUCAACCAACCAGCAAUGAAAGUUGAACAAAAGCAUUGCCAUGAGCAGCUUAUCUUCAGAGGACCGCAACAUGCACCUCAACCAACAUUGAGAAUGUGGUGGUCUUUCUCGUAGAAGUGAAAAACAGUAUAGAACAUAAUCUGAAAUUUUCUAAAAAGAAUGCCCACCGCAGAACUCUUUCCUUCAAAAGUUCUCUUGUUUCUUUCUUCCCAGAUGAGAUAAACCGUGAGACCCAAAGAGACUCUUCUCAUUCGGGCUUCUAAGUUAUUUCCUCCAGUGUGAAGCCCCCUGAUGGCACUGGUUAAGGUCAUCAUCCUCCUAUUGAUGCGCAGCCACAGCUUGAUUUGCAACCAGAGGGAAGCUGACCAAGAGCAAGUGAAAAAUAAGUGGCUGUGUGAUUCUUCUAUCUGCCCACACAGUACACACGAGGUAUCUAAUUGAAAAAACCGCAGCCGAUCUUUUGUUCUCAAUUUUCCCAACACUGCUAGCCAUAAAAUGAAGUUGUGUCUUGGCAUAGACCAUUUCUCCCCACACUCGCGCCCAGCUAACUUGAGGACCAGAGAGUCUAAAAUAAUUAUAUGCUUGCACCGAGAAGCUGCCAUCCCCUCUGUUCCAUUGCUGGAGUAAUGCUACUGCCUCCUCUUGGCACCCACAGUCUUCAAGCAACUGAUCUUUUAGCAUAAUAAUAGAUUUCCAAAGAGGGGAUGAAGAGUGAUGAGCAGUCACAGCCCAUAUAAUAUUCUGACGCAGGUAAAAGUGAUGAACCCAUUUGAUCCAUAUGGAGUCAGUUUUGAGGUGGAUAUUCCAGAGCUGUUUUGCUAAGAAACUCUUGUUACGAGCUUUUAGAUCAAAUAGACCUAGGCCUCCUUCCUUUUUGGGGAGACAGAGCUGCUUCCAGGCCACCAGAGCAGAGUUGCUGUUUUGUAUGGUUGCCUGACCACAAGAAGUUUCUGCAGAUGCAAAUAAUUUGAUGAAACUACAUUGCUUGGCAUAGGAAAGAUGCUAAGCCAGAACUGAACCAUUCCAUAGAGUACUGUCCGCACAAGCUCCAAUCUCCCAGCAUAAGUGAGAUGUUUUCCCAUCCAACUUUGCACUGCCAAUUCCAGUUUCUGCCAACAAAGGAGAGUAUUGGCUUGCUAGAAGUCUGUGGGGACUGAGAGGGACACCAAGAUAUUUGAAGGGGAAACUUCCUUCUCUAAAGCCAGUGUCAUGGAGGAUUAACUGCUUCAAACUAUCUCUAACUCCCCAAAAUAGAUCGAUGAUUUCGCUGCAUUUUAUAGUCAACCUGAAGUUUGCCCGAAGAUGAUUAGCUGCUGGAAAAUAGUGGAAACCGAGUGUCUAUCCCCACGAGACAGCAAAAGCAACAUCAUCAGCAAAGGCAAGGUGGCAUAUAUCAUGGAAUUACAUUUCGGGUGGAAGCAAAAAUCACUAUUCCUCGACGCUAGCUUAAGCAUUCUGGAGAAGUAUUCCAUGCAUAAGAUGAAUAAAUAUGGUGAUAAUGGAUCACCUUUUGUUCUAACUCCACUCUUUCCAGGAAAGAAACCAUAAAGAGUGCCAUUUACUCUGCAACAGAGAAGGAUGUAGUUUCAACACAUUUCAUAAUUAAGUGCACAAAUCGGUCUGGGAAGCCAAACACAUGCAGCAGCUGACGCAGAAAAUGCCACUGAACUGAAUCAAAGCUUUCUUGAAAUCAACCUUCAUGAGACAUCUAGGAGAAGCUCUUUUCCUGCCGUAAUGACGAAGGAGCUCUUGGACUAAAUUGAUGUUGUCUGACAUCAUUCUCCCACCUAGAAAGGCAUUUUGCAAUGGACUAAUAAUGACGUUUAGAGCAGAAGCUAAUCUCCCCGAAAGGAUUUUAGAUAUCACUUUAUAGAUCACAUUGCAACAAGAAAUGGGCCGAAAGUCAGCUGCUGUAUUUACAUUUGCUGCCUUGGGGAUCAGAGCAAUAAUAGAGUGGUUAACUUGCUUCAAAAGUUUCCUAGAAGUAAAGAAAUUCUGAACAGCCGCACAAAAAUCCCCUCCAAUGAUAUCCCAUGAUUUUUUGAAGAAGAAUGAAGAAUAACCAUCCGGCCCUGGAGCUUUAUCAUUCCCAAUACCAAACAGAGCAUUUUUAAUGUCGUCAUUGGAUACAGGAGCUAAAAGAGACUCAUGAGAUCUUUCAUUGAGGCAGGGCCCACUUUGAAUAACAUCAAUAUCUAGGGGGAGAGUUUCCUUGCAAGAGCCUAGGAGCUGCUGGUAGAACCUUACGAAUUCUUCACCCAUUUCAGCCUCUGAUGUGGUUUGAAAUUGAUCAUGAACUAAUUUUUCAAUAAAGUCCACUUCCUGUAAAUCAUUAUCAUCUCCAGGUUGCUUGCAAAUGUUAAAAAUAUUCAUCUCCAAUGUCAUGUUUCCAAAUGAUAGUUUCAUCAGUCCAUUCCUACAAUUAAUCAAUGCAUUAGAAGUUGCAAGAAAUGGACGUCCUAAAAUAACAGGAAUUGAAUUACAUGCUUCAACAGGUUGUGUAUCCAAGAUAAUAAAAUCUACAGGGUAAAUGAAUUUAUCAACUUGUACUAACACAUCCUCAACUAUUCCUCUAGGCACUUUUACAGAUCUAUCAGCAAGUAAAAGACUUUGAAAAACCGAAUAUGGAAGUAAAUUCACACUAGCUCCAAGAUCAAGUAAAGCUCUUUCAAUUUUAUGUUCUCCAAUAAAGCAAGAAAUGGUAGGACAACCAGGGUCUUUAUAUUUCAAAGCAUUAUCAUUCUGAAGAAUAGCACUUGUUCGGCUAAAAAGGCUUUCUUUUUCACAUUCAGUUUUCUCUUCACAAUGCAUAGAUCUUUCAAAAAUUUAGCAUAGGAAGGUACCUGUUUAAUAGCAUCCAACAAAGGUAUAUUGAUCCUUACCUGUUUGAAAGUUUCAAGGAUUUCAGAAUUGUGAUUGACUUUCCUUUGUUUGGUCAUGGCAUGAGGAAAUGGAAGUGCUGGCGGAGAAUCAGUCUUUUCUUCACAAUGUUCAAAUUCAACCCCUUCCUUACCCUCAGAGAUUGACUCAUCAUCUUUCUCACAAGGUUCAAGAGUGGGUUUUUCAAUAACCUUACCACUGCGAAGAGUGAUGACUGAUUUGACUUGAUCCAUGUGUUGGCUUCCGGAACUACUUGCAUUUGCAUUGUAUUGCCCCUUUGGAUUUUGCUGUGGUUGAGAUGGAAACUUACCUUUCUCUUGAAAACUGAGAGCAGAUGUGAAUUUUGCAAGAGCAUCUUUAAAAUUUGUCAUGCUUUGAGCAAGUUGAGUGUUGAUUGUCUCUUGCUUUUCAAUGAAUGCAUGCAAUGUUUCCUCAAGAUUUCUUCUAGGAGGUGGAGCAUAAGGAGGUGCAUAUCCAUGAGAAUUUUGGAAAUUAUGGUGUGCUUGAAACGGUGGCUGUGAAGUUUGUGCAUUAUUGUUAUCACUCUUCCAACUGAAAUUUGGGUGAUUUCUCCAACCAGGAUUGUAUGUUUGCGAGUAUGGGUUAUGAUUGGGCCUUUGGAAACUGUUUAAAGCAUGGGCUUGUUCAUGGAGGCAUUCCUUGAAAGAAGGCAAAGUUGGACAGUCAUUGGUUGCAUGUUCAUUUGUUUCACAGAUUUGACACACAAUGUCUUGAACAGAUUUUAAUUGACCACUCUUUUUCAAUUCUAGUGCCUCGACUUUUCUAGCUAAAGAUGUAAACUUGGCUUGGAGGUCAUGAUCUUCCCUAAGGUUAUAUAUACCUCCACUAGAUGUAUGAGGUUGGUUUUACUUGGUGCCUCAUAAGUGCCUUAGUGUCCCAAUUUUGCGCAUUUUCAGCUAGCAAGUCUAGGUACUCCAUUGCUUCAUUAGGGUCUUUAUCUUCAAAAGUUCCAUUGCACAUCAAUUCAACCAUUUGCCUAUCUUUAGGUGUUAAUCCUUCAUAAAAUUGUGAAACCAAUCUCCAUGUUUCAAAACCAUGAUGAGGGCAAGUAUUAAGCAAGUCUCGAUACCUAUCCCAACAUUGGUAAAAUGUUUCUUGGUUUUUGAGUGAAAGUGGUGAUUUGUCUUUUGAAAGAGUUGGUUCUGUGAGAUGGAAAAAACUUCUUUAAAAAUUGUUGUUGCAUUUCAUCCCAAGCACGAAUGGAUCCUGACCUAAGAUUUUGUAGCCAUGUUUUAGCUUUAUCUUUUAAUGAAAAAGGAAAAAGCUUUAAUCUAAUGGUUCAUGCUACAAUUUAAGUCAUUAUAGGUGUUACAAACUUCUUCAAAUUCUCUCAAAUGCAAGUAUGGAUUUUCUAGAUCUAAGCCAUGAAAAGAAGGUAAAAGUUGAAUAAUGCCUGGCUUAAAAUUAAAAUGAGAUGCAUCAGGAGGGAAAACUAUGCAUGAGGGUGCACUUGUUCUUGUGGGAUUCAUGUGGUCUCUAAGUGUCCUAACACGGUUAUUCUCAUUAUUCUCAUUAUGAAGUGACUGGUUAUCUUCUUCGGCCAUAUUUUCUGAAAAUGAUGAGGAUACCCUACAAAGUCUACCACUUAAUGUACGUGACCAAACACUCAUGCACGUGUAGAAAGAAAUAAAAGGAAGAAGAAAACAAAAGAAAAAAAAAAAAAACAAAAAAAGAAACAAAGUUAGAUACAAGAAAAGUGAAAAGAAAAAAAAAAAAUACUAAAUUUGUACAAGAAUUUACCUCCCCGGCAACGGCGCCAAAAACUUGACACGACCAAAAGAUUGAUGUCUUCUCCCAAGUGCAGGAGUGUCGAAGUAAUAAAUAACCCGGCAAGACCGGGGUCGAACCACAGAGAGGUUAAUUGUAUAAAUUAUAAAUAACAACAAAAAACAACAAUAAUAACAAUAACAUAAAUAGUAAUAAUAAUAAUAAUAAUAAUACUCAGUACGUGGCGUUGUUAUACCUGAGAAUGAUCUAAAAGAUCGGGUCACAGGUUUCCAGCCUAUAUACUGAGUUUAUGGAAAGAUCAAAGAGAUAUAUUAUAUAAUAUAAACAGAUUUCUGAUGCGAAUGAACAAGGCAAGACCAACAAUGUCAGGAUCCUUGAUCAAACACAGAGCAUACUUAACAUACAUAAAAUAUAACAAGAAUGUAAAUAAUAAUAAUAAUAAUAAUAAUAAUAAUAAUAAUAGUAAUAAUAUUAGUAGUAAUAAUAAUAAUAACAAUAAAAAGAAGAGGAGGAAGAAAUUAAUGAGAACUUUGAGAUGGAAGAUUAAUGUAAGGAUUAAACAAUGAUAAAAAUAAAUGUCAAGGUUAGAGGAUCCACCAAUGGUAUUUCAAACAAGUAUAGUAUAAACUCUUAUUACUCAAUUUGGAAACCACACACGAAGGAGGUUCCAUUCGGAUGAUUUGUCAUUAAUAGCUCAUUAGAAAUUAUCAACAUGAUCAUAUUAAUUAUCUCAUUUACAUAACACCAAACUUUUAAAUAUUAUCAGGAAUUCAUGAUGUUAAUUGAUGUUAACAACAAAUCAAGUACCUUUCAUAGCCCAGGUGUAGGUAAUACCAUACGGUUGGGCUAUGAGAGUGCCAAGGCAUUUGUUGUACCAAGUAUUAUACAACACAAAUUUAGAUUAACCAUUUAACAAGUAAGGUAUUAAGAAUUAGUAAGAUAAAAAGAUAAGACAUGUUAAUAUUAAACGUUAAGGUUCAUAUUGAGUUUAUACCAUACUUGUUCUUACACCAUUAGUGUAACCUUUUCACCUUGACAUAAUAAACUUAGCCAAACAUAAAUAAACAAAACAAGAACAUAAAUAAAAUACAAGUUAACUAAGGAAAGGAAAGGAAAUGAAAAGCAUAAACAAGAAAUUAAUGAAAGCAAAACUUAAGAAUUACAAAAAUAUAAAGAGAGAAAAUAAAGAGCAUGAACUUGAUCUGAACAACCAAGCCCCUAAAUAAAGUUGUAGGCCUAUGUCUUAUCAAAUCUCUGUAAAAAUUUCAGAUCAUUUGGAUAUCUAGAACUCGAGAUAUGACCCAAUUACCAAACAGUGUUCCAGUUUGGACUACAUCAACGUCUCUUUUCUAAGCUUCACACUUCUUUAUCUUCAAAAUUUCAGUAGUUAAAUUCAUCAAUCAAUCCUUUGAUUUAUGUGAUAUGCCUGCAUUUAAGAUGAACAUUUACCAUAUAUUAGGGUAAUUUAUAAUAUUAGACUUGUUAUUAUAAAACAUGCUUUAGUUAAGGAGUUAUUGAUACUUUAAGUGCAAAAUGAUGAUAUAAACCCUUGAUAAACAUGCACUUUUAAGUACUAAUCAUUACACUACCAGAAAACUGGCGAAAACUAACAGAAUUACCGACAAAUUUUUUUCGUCGAUAAUUUUUACCGACAUAAAUAAUUCCAUCUCUCAUUCUAUCGGUAUAUACCGAUACAUAAUAUCUGUCGGUGAUACGGUCGGUAUAUACCGAUAGAAACAUUUUGUUGGUAUAUACUGAUCGUAUCACCAACGGAUUAUAUAUUGUUAUAUGGAAUGAAGAGUCAUGACUGCAAUGUGUUUUUGUAAACACUCAUCCCAUUAGCUUUUUGUGAUUUGUUGCCAAAAGGGAUAUGGGAUGCAUUAACAGAGAUCAAUUAUUUUUUCAGAGAUAUAUACUCCAACAAGUUGAAUGUUGAUCACAUUAAGAGGCUUGGAACGAAUAUUUUUGAGACGAUAUGCAAACUUGAGAUGAUAUUCCCUCAAUUAUUUUUUGACUCAAUGGAGCAUUUACCCGUGCAUUUACCAUUUGAGGUAAAAGUUGGAGGACCGGUCUAGUACAGAUGGAUGUAUCCAUUCGAGAGGUUAGAUAUUACAGUUGCUAUGUAAUUCAUAAUUAAAUGUUUUUUUUAAUUGAUAAUUUUUUAUUAAUAUAUAUAUAUAUAUAUAUAUGCAAGUACUUGUUCAAUCUAAAAAAAAAGGUUAAGAACAAGGUGCAUUUUGAGGUGUCAAUAUGUGAGGCCUAUAUUGUUGAGAAGAUAUCAACAUUUAUCUCAUACUUAAGAAUGAGGAUCAACCGUGUUCCACGACAUGAUGAUGGUGGUGAAGUGCCUUCAAGUGGGAACUUGUCAAUAUUCUCCAAUCUUGGACGACCCACAUCUAAAAAUGCCGUGAGGGGGAGAUAUUUUUCUAAAAUAAAGUUCAUACAAGCACACAAUUGAGAUAUUUGUCUAAAAUAAAGUUCAGACAAGCACACAAUUAUGUCAUAUUUAACUGUGAUGAGCUGAGACCUUUUAUUAAGUAAGUAGAUGUUUGACUUAAACUUUGUCAAGAGUGUACUAUUUAUGUUUUGUGAUACCAUAAACUCAUAUAAUUUGGAACAACCUUGCAGGCAACAUCAACGAUACUUACUGUCCAACAACUCACAGCUGACCGAAUCCCAGAUCUUUCAAUUACAAGAUGAACAAUUUGCCACAUGGUUUAGAACACAUGUAAGUCCUAUCACAAACUCAUUAUCUCUUGCAAUGUAAUUAAUUGUACGUCAAUAUUACAUAAUAUAUGUUUAUUGAUUAUUAUUGUAUUUAAUAUACAAGUUUUAUCAAAUGGGAGGUAGUGUUGCUAUUUCGCUGUCUUUACUAAGCACGAGCCCUGAAAGAAAAGUCAUGUGCUAUAACGAGUACUUUGUCAAUGGAUAUGUCUUUCAUACUAAAGAAUAUGAGCAUGAAAGAAAGACAUACAACAACGGUCUUUAUAUUAAGGGAUCGACUUCUAGUGACUUUGAAGAUGACUACUACGGUAGAUUGGAAGAGGUUAUCAAACUGCAACAUCAUAACAAGCAGAAUAGAGUGUUUUUAUUCAAAUGCUAUUGGUAUGACACAACUGAUAGAGUAAUCUGAGUAGAUCCUCACUAUGGUCUUGUUGAAAACAACUCAAAAGCUAGACACCGCAACGUAAACAUCUUUAUUUUUGCAAAGCAAUGCCAACAAGCUUAUUACACAUACACCCCUUCCUUUAGAAAGGACCGAUCAAGAGUUGAUUGGUUAUCUAUUUUAAAAACAAAACCCAGGGUUCAUGUCGAGGUUAUUCAGGAUGAGAACGAAGAUACAAGUAUGAUAGAUGAAGUCUUUCAAGCUAGUGAGUUGGUUGAACCAUACCGAGUUGCUCCUUCGAUUGACUUAAAGAAAUUCAAAUUUUCAUGUUUUCGACGAUAGUCUUGUUGAUGUUGACUUAGAGGAGUUGAAUGUUGUUUUGAGCUCUACUGGUGGACUAGAGAAUGUUGAUGAAGAAGAUGAUAAUCACAUUGAAGAGCGCGAUGAAGCUAAUGAUAAGAAUUCAAUUAAGGACAAAGAUGAAAAUUCUGACUAAACAUGUUGUAAAGCCUUAUUUUUAUAAUGUAAUAUUUUGGAACAUGAAAUAUUUAUUCUUCUUUAAUAGUCAGCUCUUGUUAUUGUGAUGUGUGUGCUAUAUGUUUGCAAUUCAAGAUUUUGUGCAGGAGAAUAGACAAAAAUACAUGAGGCAGCAGAAAUAUUGACAAUUUCAUCGACGGGUACAUCGAUGGAAUGGUACUCGUCGGUAUUUCAUCGAGAGAUGGAAAAAAUUUAUAGAAUUGUGCCACAAUCACUGACAGAAUUACACCCAUCGGUAUUGUACCAAGAGUUAAAAAACAAUUACAGACUUGUGCCACAAUCACCGACGGAGUGGUACCCGUCGGUAUUUUAUCGAGAGUUGAAAAAAAUUUAUGAUCCAUACCACAAUCACCGACGGUUAGCGCACUUCCCGAAAGGAAACCUGUCAGUACGCUGACGACACGUUUACUGAAGGAUUGGCCGACGGAUCGAAAAGUCAGGCGGGAUUUUCAAAAUUUUUGGUGUGAACAUCAAUAAAUUACCGACGAAAUUUAAUGCUUAAUGAUCCGUCAGUAAUACUGUUGGAAAAAUUGCUAUAUAAAACCCCUCCUCUCCCCAUUUGGUUCAUUUUUCUACUGGCUCUCAUCUCUAUUUCUCUUCUCCUCUCUAUUUUAGUUUAGUUUUUGGAAGAGAUUUUAUUGUUUUGGUGGUAGUUUUAAACAUAUUAAAAGGUAUGUAUUCUUUUUUCUUUAUCUUUGUAUUUUUUUUAUUUUAAUUAUGAUUAUUUUUUUGGUGCUCUUUGUUUUGUGUAUUUUUUGUUGAUAAAAUCUUAAAAUCAACACACUAUUAAGGUAAGCAUUUUUUAUUCCUAAAAUUUUUAAUUGAUGUAGUAUUUUUUUAGUUUUGUGUAUUGUUUGUUUUGUAUUUAGGAUGUUUUGUGUAGUGUUCUUUAGUUUUUUCAUUUUAUUUAUUAAUUUUAGGAUAUUAUUUUUUGUUUUGCCAUAAUUGUUAUUGUUUAAUUUUUGUUUUAAAUGUUAAUUGAAAUAUAGAAUUAAAUUUAAUUAGUUUAUCUUAAUUUUAGGAUAUUAUUGUUUGUUAUGUUGUUUCUUAUUUUGAUUAAUUUUAAAUGUUAUUUAUGAAUUUGUAUUGAUGGUAGUUGAAAAUAUAUAGAUGUUGAAUUUCUAUAGAUGUUAGGUUGUAUAGAGUUGGUUUUUCAAUAUUUGUGUAAUUAUCAAUAUUUGUAGCUAUGAAAACUGCUGAUAGUUUAUAAUAUAGGGGAGGUACUGUAGAAUUUUUUUUUUUUAAUGAUUGAAUUUCUAUAGAUAUUAGGUUGUAUAUAUGAUGUUGCUGGAGUCAAUUGGAUUGUGGUUAUUGUAAAGAUUGCAAGUUUGAAAAUUGUAGGUAGUUUCCAGUAUAGGGGAGGUGGUGCCAAAUGUUUUUUAAUGAUUGAGUUUCUAUAGAUAUUAGGUUGUAUAUUGUUGUUGGAGUCAAUUAAAUUGUGGUUAUUGUAAAUAUUACAGGUUUGAAAACUAUGGAUAGUCUCUAGUGUAGGGGAGGUGCUGCCGAAUGUUUUUUGUUUACGGGUAGUUUUUCUUUGUUGCAUCAACAUGGUGUUCAGCAACGCUUGAUCACUGACCAGAAAGUCGACGUAUUCCAAUCCUCUUGAUCUCCAAUUAAAAGUUUUUCAAAUUAAAGGUAAGUCGCAUGAUGUUGGCAUGCAUUACUCCCAUCUCCUUUGACGGUGGACUGGAGACUGUUGAAAGCUAAGCUGGUUACUUGUUUUUGAAGUCUUAGAAGAAGACUACGCAGGUUGUAGCAAGAAGAAUGAAGAAAUGGAAGGAAUUCUGUUAAAUUAGUUAAAGAAGUUGUUAAAACAGUUAUGGCAGUUAUAGUUGGUUUUACUGUUACAAAUCCAUUACAAACUGAUUCUUACAUGUGUAAGAAUCGUAGCCCUUCAUUAAUGGAUGAGAUGAUUUGUAGGUAGUUUCCAGUAUAGGGAGGUGUUGCCAAAUGUUUUUUAAUGAUUGAGUUUCUAUAGAUAUUAGGUUGUAUAUUGUUGCUGGAGUCAAUUGGAUUGUGGUUAUUGUAAAGAUUGCAGGUUUGAAAACUGUGGAUAGUCUCCAGUGUAGGGGAGGUGCUGCCGAAUUUUUUUAUUUACGAGUAGUUUUUCUUUGUUGCAUCAACAUGGUGAUCAACAACGCUUGAUAACUGACCAGAAAGUCGACGUAUUCCAAUCCUCUUGAUCUCCAGUUAUGAGUUUUUCAAAUUGAAGGUAAGUCGCAUGAUGUUGUCAUGCGUUACUCCCAUCUCCUUUGACGGUGGCUAGAGACUGUUGAAAGCUAAGCUGGUUACUUGUUUUUGAAGUCUUAGAAGAAGACUACGCAGGCUGUAGCAAAAAUGAAGAAAUGGAAGGAAUUCUGUUAAAUCAGUUAAAGAAGUAGUUAAAACAGUUAUGGCAGUUAUAGUCGGUUUUACUGUUACAAACCGAUUCUUACAUGUGUAAGAAUCGUAGCCCUCCAUUAAUGAAUGGAUGAGAUGAUCUUGGUUCCUAAAAUCUAGGAAUCAGUUACUUUCAACGUGUAUAAAAGUAGAGUUUUCUGCAUUAAUGAAACAGUAGAAAAAUACAAGACUUUACUCCUCAAUCUUCUCUGCAAACUUGUUUACAAUUUCUUCUCAAUAACUCCAGAAAACAAACAUGGUAUCAGAGCUCAAAAACUAAUUCCUAAGAGGGGCAUAAACUGUCAAAACAGAUUGAUUAAAUUGUUGAUUACUCAAAAAUGGUAGGAUCAAGCUCUGCUGGAGGAGAUCUAAGAACUCCAUUGUUCAAUGGCAUAAAUUACGACUUUUAGGCUGUAAAAAUGGAGACAAUCCUCAUAGCAUUCGAUCUAUGGGACGUAAUAGAAGUUGGAAUACAAUCUCAUCAAUCACCUGAGGUUGCAAAUGGAUCAGGCGAUGAAGAGAGUGAAGCUGAGCAAACUACAUUGCAAAUAUCUACUACCUACAAAGAAAACAAAAUCAAGAAUGCAAAGGCAUUAAGCUUCAUACAAGGAGCAUUAACAGAUGACCUUUUCCCAUGCAUAAGAAACGAGAAGACUGCAAAAGGAGCUUGGGAAAUUUUGAGCAGAGAAUUCAGAGGAGAUAAAAAGAUUAUAGCUGUAAAACUUCAAGUAGUUAGAGCAGACUUUGAAUACCUGAGAAUGUUAGAAGGUGAAAGCUUAGAUGGAUAUCUAGCUAAAUUCUUUGCAACUAUGAAUAACUUAAAAUCAUUAGGAGAAGAUGUAUCAGAAAACAAAAUUGUGCAAAAACUGCUAAUGAGUCUAAGUAGAAGAUAUAAGUCCAUUGUGUCAAUCAUUAAAGAGACACGAGAUCUUGAUGUUCUAAGAGUAGAAGAAGUCAUUGCUUCUAUCAAAGUCUAUGAUAAGAGGAAGGAUCUGCGUGAUGAAAAGGAUAAGCUAACAAGAACAGAGAAAUCUUUAGCAAUUUAAAGGUUGGAAACAAUCAAGCCUACAGUUCAUACAAGGGUUUCCAAGGCAGAUCUACUCAAAAAUGGCAAUCACAAAAGGAGGGGGUCAAAUUGGACUCUAAACAGAAACUUAAAUAACUACAACAAUUCAAGUUGGAACAACACUGCUCGGGGAAGUAGUCAAGCAAGUGUAAAGCCAUAGUGUCAAGUCUGCCAAAAGCAACAAUUUGGAUUGUAGACACAAAGGAAAACCAAGAUGUGGAAGAUGCAAUCGGUUUGGCCAUAUUACAAAAGACUGUGAAAGUCACAGUCACAAACAACUAGCAAAUUAUACAAAAGAAGAUAGAGUAACCACUAAAACCAUAUUCUAUGCUUGCCAUUCUACAAGCUUGCAAGAUAGAAAGGUAUGGUUUGUGGAUAGUGCCUGCAACAACCACAUGACAUCUCAAGAAUCUGAAUUAAUCAACAUCGAUAGAAUAGUGACCUGCAAAGUAAAGAUGGGCUCAGGAGACCUUGUGCAAGCAACUGGAAAAGACAUAUUGGUUGUGGAAACUCAGCAUGGAAAGAGAUAUAUAAAAUAAGUACUGCUUGUUCCCGGAUUGGAUGAAAAUCUAUUGAGUGUAGGCCAGAUGAUGGAGCAUGGUUAUUAUAUCCUUUUUGGAGGUAACAAAGCAGUGAUAUUUGAUGAUGAAAGUCUCAACAAUGCUGUAGCAAUAGUGAGCAUGGGAGGAAAUUGAUGCUUUCCAUUUUCACUUGAGUCCAUCACACCUGCAGCAAGGAAAGCUUCAGUGAUUAAGGACUCCUAGAUAUGGCAUAGAAGAUUGGGACACUUGAACUUUGCUAGCAUGAAAAAGAUGCAGCAGAAAGAGAUGGUAUGUGGACUUCCUGUUCUGACAGAAGUGGAAGAUAUAUGUGUAGGUUAUGCUUCAGGCAAACAUCACAUGGAGAAAUUUGACAAAGAACAAACAUGGAGAACAAGUAUCCACUGGAAUUAAUCCACACAAAUCUGUGUGGACCAAUGCAGAAUGAAUCAAUGGGAGGGAACAGAUACUUCAUCACAUUCAUUAAUGAUUACUCAAGAAUAUACUGGGUAUACUACCUCAUAAACAAAUCUAAUCCACUCAAUGUGUUCAAGAAAUUUAAAGCAUUCGUUGAGCUGCAAAGUGGAUAUAAAUUGAAGGACUGAUAGAGGUGGUGAAUAUACCUCAAAUGAGUUUGAAGAAUUCUAUGUAAAACAAGGAAUGGAGAGGCAGUUGACAGGUGCAUACUCUCCUUAAUAGAAUGGAGUUGCAGAGAGGAGAAACAGAACAAUCUGUGAAAUGGCAAGUUCCAUGCUGAUAGAGAAACAAAUGCUAGUAAUCUUCUGGGUAGAAGCUGUGGAUACAGCUGUGUAUAUUCAGAACAGAUGUUAUACAACUUCAGUUAUUGAAAAAAACUCCAUUUGAAGCCUUAACGGGAAGAAAGCCAGGAGUCAAGCAUCUGAAGGUGUUCAGUUGCUUGUGCUACACACAUAUCCCAUCAUCACUAAGGCAAAAAUGGGAUAGCAAAGCUAGAAAGAGAGUCUUUGUUGGAUAUGGUAGCUGUGAGAAGGGGUAUAGAGUGUAUGAUCUGAAAUCUGAGAAGAUUAUUCUCUCAAGAAGUGUGAUUUUCAGUGAAGAUAGGUCAUGGAAUUGGGAAAGAAAUAUGAUGAACCAAAAACACUUGUCUCUCAAUCUUGAAGGAGAUGAAGUUGAAGGUGAAAAUUCUGAAGAACAUUCUGCUGCAGCCCAACCCGAUAAUGUUGAACAUUACCAUCCAAAUUCUACAGUUGGAGAGUUAUUUGAGAAUAUUAGCAGUGAUAACAGUCAACAAUCUACACCUAGCUCUACUCCAGUAAAAUUAAAAACCUUAGAAGAUAUAUAUGCAAGGUGUCACAUGUGCAUCAUAGAACCUGAGAAUUAUCAAGAAGCUUUUGGAGAUAAAGCCUGGCAGGAGGCUAUGAAGGAAGAAUUGGAAAUGAUAGAGAAGAACAAUACUUGGGAAUUGGUGGAGAGACCGAUUGACAAACUUGUUAUAGGAGUGAAAUGGGUGUACAAAACCAAGCUUCAUCUUGAUGGAACAGUACAAAAACACAAGGCUCGCCUUGUAGCAAAAGAAUGCACAGAAAUCCGAAUUGAUUACAAUGAAACCUUUGCACCAGUAGCAAGGCUGGAAACAAUUCGGACUCUCAUUGCACUUGCAGCAUAGAAGGGGUGGAAGUUGUUUCAGUUGGAUGUUAAGUCAGCAUUCAUAAAUGGUGUUCUUAAGGAAAAAGUGUAUGUUGAGUAGCCUGAAGGGUUUGAAGUAAAGAAUGCAGGACACAAAGUUUACAAACUAAGGAAUGCCUUAUAUGGACUAAAGCAGGCACCAAGAGCCUGGUACAAUGAAAUUGAUGCAUACCUCUCUAUGUGCAAAUUCAAAAGGAGCACAAGUGAAGCUACUUUGUAUACAAGGUUAGAUCUGGAAGGUAACUUGAUCAUUGUCUCAAUCUAUGUUGAUGACAUUGUGUACACUGGCAGCAGUGAAAGAUUGCUUAGUGAAUUUAAAAGAGAAAUGAUGCAGAGAUAUGAGAUGUCUGACCUUGGACUUCUUCACCAUUUUCUUGGCAUGGGAAUACUGCAAACCGAUCAAGGGGUAUUUAUUCAUCAAGGCAAGUAUGCCAAAUCCUUGCUUAGUAAGUUUGGACUUGAUGACUGCAAACCAGUCUCCAUUCCUUUGGCCACUGGUGAGAAACUAAAGAAGGUGGAUGGGAGUGAGUUGGUUGAUGAAGGGCUUUAUAGAAAAAUAGUAGGAAGUUUACUAUAUUUGACAGCAAUAAGACCAGAUCUGAUGUAUGCUGCAGUUGCUUGUUCACGGUUCAUGACUGGACCUACCAAAAUCCACAUGGGAGCUGCAAAAAGGAUCCUAAGAUAUGUGCAAGGAACUCUCAGCUAUGGCAUUGAAUACGUAAGGGAUCAAUCAGCAACUCUUGUUGGAUUUUGUGAUGCAGAUUGGGCAGGAAGUGAAGAUGAUAGCAGGAGCACUUCUGGCUAUGCAUUCAGCUUUGGAAGUGGAGCAUUCUCCUGGGUCUCUAUGAAACAAAACACAGUGGCAUUAUCAACUGCAGAACCUGAGUAUGUCUCAACAUCUGAAGAAACUGCUCGGGCCAUUUGGUUAAGGUUUGUUCUUGAUGAUUUUGGUGAAAUGCAAGCUGAGGCAACACCCUUGUUCUAUGAUAACAUGUCAGCAAUUUCAAUGGCCAAGAAUCCUAUUUUUCAUCAAAGAACAAGACACAUAAACAGGAAGUAUCAUUUCAUAAGAGAGGCUCUGCAAAAAGGAGUAAUAAAUGUGAAGUUCUGCAAAAGUGAAGAACAACUUGCAGACAUCUUCACGAAAGCAUUGCCUAAAGAUAGAUUCAAGCAACUAAGGCUGAAGCUUGGAGUGAAACCAGUAAACAGCUUAAGAGAGGCUGUUGAAAGCUAAGCUGGUUACUUGUUUUUGAAGUCUUAGUAAAGAAGAAUGAAGAAACAGUUAAAACAAUUAUGGCAGUUAUAGUCGGUUUUACUAUUACAAAUCUAUUACAAAUCGAUUCUUACAUGUGUAAGAAUCGUAGCCCUCCAUUAAUAAAUGGAUGAGAUGAUCUUGGUUCCUAAAAUCUAGGAAUCAGUUAUUUUCAACGUGUAUAAAAGCAAAGUUUUCUGCAUUAAUGAAACAGUAGAAAAAUACAAGACUUUACUCCUCAAUCUUCUCUGCAAACUUGUUUACAAUUUCUUCUCAAUAACUCCAGAAAACAAACAGAGACCGCCUCGUUCUAGCCAUAUCAUAGUGAACUUGAUGACUUCUUGGGCCGAGAGGUUUACAAAGUGAGCCGAUCAUGGGAUUAAAGAAAUUGCUCUCUCCGACGAAUUGGAUACUUUGAAACGAGUUUCAGAGAGGUUGGUGAUGCAUACAAGACAGAGAAGGCAACAGGCAAACAGGGGAUAUAUAUUCAAAUAAACAGUUUGAUAUUGAAGAAAUUAUGUACAGACCAGAGACUGUAUAUCAGCGUCUUCCUUUUAUGAAUAUUUCAAAGGCACAGGCUUUUUAAUAACACCCUGCCCAAAUACUAUACACACACUACCUGAACCACUCGGUAGCUCUUGAUGUUUUACGCUGAAGCUAUACAAUUAUAUCUACAGACAGAAUAUUUACAAAUCCUUCAACUACAGGUCCUAAAAUCAACUUGUAGCAGAAAUAUCAUUUCCAGCGAGGAUGAAGCUCCUGGCUCCUUUUGACGGGACUUGGCCGGGAAGAGUCGUUGAAACUCUCCAGAGAAUAGACCUCCCAUCCCCCAUCUCUCCAGUAGGUUGAGUAUACUUCUGGGAUGUGCGCGACUCUCCAAUAAUCUCCCCCUUGUUCAUCUGAAAGAAGUGUCUGGAUUAGUUCUCGAGGCAUGUCGAAAAACUCUAGCACUUUCAGCUUUGUUAGAUGCUCAAUGCCUAAUGGUGCCUUCUCCAGCAAUUUACAGCGCUGAAUGCUCAACUUUUCCACGCGAGGCAGCGCACCCACCUCCACUUCCACGCAUCUUAGCUCGUCAAAUUUAUCAAUACCUAAAAGCUUGAGUUUCUUAAACCCUCCCACCUUGAAACACAAGGUAUCUCCUUCAUAAACUUGAAGUAAUUCAAGAUGCACAAGAUUGGGAAGAACCUGAAGAGAUUCCAGGGGAUCACACUUUAAGCGGCUCCAUUUCAAAUGAACUCUGACAAGGCUUUCUAGAUUAGGUAUCCAGUGUGGCAGUGUCUCUAAGCGUCCUGUCAAGUACAACCGCUGAAGUAGCGGAGGAGGAGAGAAAAGGUGCUCAAGAUCAAGAAUCUCAUCCUCUUCUACUGAAAGUAGAGACAAGGCGCGGAGGUUUCUAAGAUUCUCGAUAGAUGAACAUAAAGACUUGCCCAUCUCCCUUCUCAACUUUACAACACCUAACCUUCUCAGUUUAGUUAGCUUCCCAAGUUCAAUCAUAUACUACCAUUGCCGUGGUUUGCCUCAACAAAACAUAGUUUCUGUAGGGAUUGCAGUUGUCCUAUUUUCUCAAGAGCUUUGAAACCAUUCUUCGAGUGGAAGUGUGCGUAAGACUCGUAUUCAUAGCGAUAGACCAGGAGAUGACGAAGUCGUUGUAGCUUCAAGAUCUCAUCGGGCAACUCAGUGACGUACGUGUGUUUGAGAUCCAAGGUCUCUAGGUGUUGAAGUUGCCCUAUAUAGGAUGGGCUCUACUUUACCUUAGUUUCCUUCAAACUGAGAUACCUAAGGUAAACUACAGGUUGAUAACUUGAACUGGAAACUUUUUUAUUGGAGCACCUUGCAAAUCCAGCACAUGAAGCAGCCUAAACCAUUAGGAAACAAGGUUCGUAGGGGCGACUUCUCUACGACCCCAAACAUGAACAAAGAACGCAACUGAGAGACGCACCUGUUCAGUUGUACGUUUCGCACUGUGUAGUGUAUUGAAUAGACGCCGAAUUUUGUCUGGCCACGUUGCAUUUUGAUCCUUGGCUAUAACUGCAAAGUUCUGGUCUCUUGACUUUGAAAAGAUAAUCUCUCGCACGAGAGGUCAUGGGGGCGACAGUUUUGACCCUUCCGUCACUAGCUGCUCCGCCACUUGCAACAGGCUUCUGUUCAGGAGUUCAUUGAAUAGUCCUCUGCAACAUCUUCUAACUCCUUUCCAUUUUUUGCUUCCACAAAUCCUUCCGCAACCAUAGACGAAUAGUUUCAUGUGCUCAAUUAGAUGAUCCUCUGGAAAGAUGCUCAUACAAGAAACAAGACU